UUUUUUUUUUUUUUUGCAAGUUCUUUUUCAAAUCAUAAUCACCUUCCCUUGUCAAUUCGUUUAACUGCUUUUUGCUCAUUAGUACUUGAAAAUUUAUUUAUUGAUAGACCACCUUGAUGGAUUAUGUGCAGCCACAUGGCAACUGCUGCGUAUUUAAAUUCUUGAACCACAUGAAGAUGAAGUAGGCCGACAUAUAUUUUGACCCUGAUAGAAUUACCAAAGUGACCUAAUAAUUUUGUUUGAGUUGAUGAGGCCUUGGUUUAGUGGCAGAAAUCCCAAGAAUUUGAGAUUUUAGAUUCAAAUUUCCUUGUCUCGUCUCUAUUUCUUAAAUCUCACAUUUUCUCGGGAAAAAAAUAUUAAUGGGAGGUAUGAGUCUUGUUUAGGUAUACAUACCUCGUGCAAACUUUGUUUAGGCCAAAGGAUUGCACGAUUGGACAUGGUACACUAAAUUUAAUCAUCAAUAUGUGGUGCUUUUAACCUUUUUCAAUUAGGGGUGUCAUCGAUUAAAUGGCUAGCAACCAUCAAGCUAGUUAAUUUUUUUUUAAAAAAGUAUAUUAACGAAUUUGAUUUCCACUUUUUUCCCUUUUCAAUAAGCUAUCUCUUCAUAUACCUUGCCUUAAUUCUACCAGCCCGAGCACCCUUAUUUCUUGGGGGAAAUGGCGAAACUUAUCCUUGUUGAUUUAGCCAAGAAAUUGUAUUAACUCAUUUUGCUCAUGCAAUUUCACUGGACAAAUUUGAGCAAGCAUUUUUAGUUUCAGUUCUCAAAAUUGUCUUAACACCAUCAUACACAUCUAAGCUCAAAUUGGAUUAACUUGGAUUUAAGUUGGUGGAUCUUGUCUCAAGACUAUUAUACGUCAAAAUUUUUCUUAGUUGUUACCUUAGUAUAUUAGUGGAAGAUGAUAGGUGCCAUUGCCAAAGAAAAUGUUUGGACUGGCCGACUAGGUUGUUUAUUUCAAGUGCAGGACGGAGGGCUGAUGUUGCCUUAUAAUUCCUGCGACUUGACUGACUCGUUUGCUUUUCGCAAGGACGAACCCAACCUUUGCUUUGGUCUACCAGCCGGUUGGCUUCUUUGCCUGAGUUAAAACUGGGAAUGAACGGGGAAUAAGUGUGACACUACCGAAAAUUCGUUCCUUAAUAUAAACUACUUACGUUACAAAAAGAAUUAAUCUUCUAUACACUGAUAGUCUGUAUACUUUCACCAUUGAAUAUAUGACGCAUAAUCCGAAUUUGAAUUUGAAAUCCAAAUUUUGCAUAUGUAUCGUAUAUCCAACCAUGAUAGUAUAUACAUUGUCAGUGUAUAUAAGAUUUACUCUUACAAAAAUAGUGGAUGUAACUGACUUCAUAAAGUAUCAACUUUUGAGUAAUGAAAGGGAAAAAGAAGAAGAAGAAGUUAAACUAAGGGUGCGUUUGUCAUAAAACUGAAGUGUGAAAAUUGAAAUAUGAAAUCUGAAUCUACUAAAUUAUUGAAUUAUUAAGUAUUAAAUCAAAUAUAUUAAAUGUAUAUAAUAUUCAGUGAUAAAUGAAUAGCUUAUCACUUAUUUUUUAGAACAAGUUUUGUUUAGAAAAUUCAAUAGCACUUAAUUAAUUUAGAUAUUUAAUUUUUGGUUAUCAAAUAUAUUUUAAUAUAUUAAGAUCUAAAUACAUUAAAUUUUAGUGCUAAAUUGCGAUAUCAAACGGGCUUGUUUAGCCAUAACUAAGAAUGAAUUGAGCAGAGUCCAAAAAACAUGCUAGGGUUGGGCCUAGUGUUUAGUGCACUGUAAAGAGAGACUUUAUCAUGGACAUGCCUACUGACAAGAAAGUAGUUACUUUAUCACGGAACAUUCCUACUAACAAAUAUAUUGGUAGGAAGGUCCGUAAUAAAGUUUCUCUACCAAGGCAAAGACACCUUUAAACAGCCUCAUUAAGGUUUUGUUUGAUAAAACUGAAUUUAAAUUCUGAAGUUUGAAUUCUGAAUUCUGAAUAUUGAAAUAAUUAAUUUGUUGAAUUUUAAGCACUGAAAAUAAAUAUAUGAAUGUCUGAAUUUUAAUACUAAACCUAUUUAUACUGUUUGAUAAACAUUUAUAACUGAAUGCUUAAUAAGUUAAAUUUGAUAAUUUUGCCCUUAUAUCUUUUCAUCCAAAAAAGAAAUAGAACCUAUAAUUUAAUUAGCUAAAAAUGUUAGGUAUGAAAAUGAUAAUAUUUAUUUUUAAAUCAAAUUAAUAUAAAAGAUGAAUUAUGUUAUAUGAGGAGUAUGGAAAAGAAGUAAAAGUCAUUCAAAAGGGAGAAAAGAAAAAUAGAAAAUCAUUAGAUAGAGAAUAUUAGAUUGUUUAAUUAUAUAAGAAUUUUGAAUAUAAUUAAUAAACAAUGGUAGAUUUGGUAGAUAAGAUAAGGUAGUUAAAGUAAUUCUAUUGAUUCUUAUCAGAAUAAAGCAUUCAGUUAGGAUUCUUGUGCUGAAAAAAUUACACACAAGUUUAGCAUUACUUAACAAAUUCAGCAAAUGGCUUUUUAUUUAUCAAACACUCAAAACAUCUAAAUAUCUGAAAAGUUCAGAUUCAAUAUUUUUUUAUGUUAUCAUACAGACCCUAAGCCUCUCUUUUCUCGUUAUUCUGCUACUUUAUCAAUACUAAAUAUAUUCGGAAAGAAAGGUUUGCAAUAGAUCGUGGCAUGUUUGUGUUGUGUUAUUGUCAUGUUUGUGCCGAAAAAAUCUCAAUCUAGUUCUGAUCCACUAAACUUUCGUAUUGUAUGUGUCAUGAUGUGCUCAUUAACAGGUUAACACAAUCCAAUCCAUUUAACUCAUUAAACAUUUUGAAUGACAAUAAUUGUUGUUAAAUGAACUCGUUUAACACACGUUCUAAUCCAUCUAGUCUUGCUGUUGAAGAGUUUGAAGAGUUUUCAAAGAUAAGAUGCACGAUAAAAUCUUCAAAGUUUAAAACAUGAAAGCAAGUGUCAAAUUUCAGCAUCCGCUUUCAAUAAAAAAAAAAAAAACUCAUUACUGAUGCACAAUAAAAUGCAUAACUUAAAAGUCUACAAGUUUUUUUGAAGACACAAUACCUAGUAAAGUCUUCAAAAUACAAAACAAGUUUCAAUGUUUAGAAUUCUCAAUAGAAACAAAGUCUAAUACUUCCAUACAAAAUCAGACAUUAAAGUUAUAAUAACAAAUAAUAGAAGGGACAAUGUCUGUUUUCAUUCCUAAACUUUGGGCCGUUGUCAAAUUUCAUUCUCAAACUCUCUGGCGUAAUAUAUUUAUUGUCUAAACUGUUAUUUUUAUCAAUUUUAUCCUUAAAUGGAAAAUUAAUUAAUUUGAAUGUAAAUUGAGCAUGUAAUGAGCAUGAACCCAUUAAGUAAAAAGAUAUGCACGACUUAAAAUUAGCAAAACAAAAUGGCUAUCUUCACUCUAGCAACUCCAAUACCAUUCUUCCCAACUCCAAUUUCCAUUCAAAUUGACUAAUUUUCCAUUUAAUGAUGAAAUUGGUUAAAAUUUGACAGUUCAAAUACUAAAUGUGUUUUGUCAGAAAGUUUUGAGACGAAAUGUGUCCAUAGUCCAAAGUUUAGGGAUGAAAAACUGGCAUUUUCCCAAUAAUAGAAAAAAAAAACAAGUUGAGAGAUGAUCCAUUAACGUUCAACUAUCAUCAAGUUAGUGUGUCAACCUAUGAGUUGACCCAAUUUGACCUGCUUACAGUCAUAUUCUUGCCAACCCAAUAAUGAUCCACUUACAUCUAAUUCGUAAUAAAUCUAUUAAUAUUAAGUCGUAUUUGAAUCGUAUUAUUGUGUUGUGUCAGAAAUUACCACCCUUAUGAGAGAAUUAGUAGCCAAGGGGAACAAAGAGAAAAAGAAAAAGUUUUGGAUGUCUUCUUGAUGAUAAACAUUAAUAAGUUACAUUUUCUUUCUUUUUUUUAUGUUUCUUCAAAGAAAUUACAGGUGGCAUUCAUAUUAAUUCGUGUAAACUUGCAUAGAAGCCUAGUUGAUUAUAGGGAUAAUUUCAGAAACCUCAUAGGGAUAAUACAGUUUUGUUACCCUCUCUUGAGGUUCUAAAAAUAUGACUAAACUCCCUUGAAACCAACUUUCUUACAACAAUUUAACCCAAUUCAAAAAAGUAACAAUUAAGAAAAAUUUUAGGUGUGAGAAGAUUUAUUUAUGCCAAGAGUGCUCCUCAACUAUUAUACUAGUUGGAUUAAAUAUUUGAUCUAACUUGUUAAUUUACUUAUGGGGCCAUUACUACUCAUGGUCAAUAAAAAAUUUCCAUCAUCCAUAACAAAAAUAACAAUUUUCAAAAUUUAACAAAACAAUUUUAUUCCAUACCUUAAGAUUCACGUUGUUACCACAAUUACAAAAAAAAAAUUAGUCCAAUUGAAAUCUCUUUAUAUUUGAUUCCUUUUAUUUAUCAAGUACAUAAAUUGGAAAAGGGAUGCCUAGUAUUGGAUCCCUUUUUAGAGGCCAAAUUAGAUUCUCUUUUUUACAUAUCAAAUUAUGGUUAAUUUAGUUUGUAAACGGUUUAAUUAUUUCUCAUCCCGAAAUCCUUAAUUUAUCAACUGCAUUACAAAAAUUUAAAAAAAGCACCUAAUAUUACCUCUAUUUUUAGAUGGCGAAUUGAUUAACUUUUUACAAUCCAAAUUAUGGUUAAUGUAGUUAGCAAACAUUUAACUCUUUCCUUCAAAUAUAUGUGUAAUUAUUAUAAAUUAUAAGGGUAAUAGAGUCAUUUAGCCAUUAGCAAUAUAAGCGUUGGGUCCCGAAUGAUUAACAAGGAAGGCAAAUAAAAUUUUUAAAAUCUUAGGGGAGGGCAGUGAAAUUGUCAAAAACUUCAAAGGAGGUUUCUGAAAUUAUCCCUUGAUUAUAGUCUUGGUAUGUUUGUAUGAAUUUAAGCAAGACAAGUUUUUAUCAUUUUAUGUAACCACUUUUCAAGUAAUUUUGUGCAAUACUUAUGGAAUAUUUGAAAUCCAUCUCUUAUAUACAAAAAAGCUAACUGCUACCAUGAAGGAUUUCUAAACAGCCACUAAGUCCAAGGGUGGAAUUGCCACAGCUGUUAUUGCAACUAGGGUUGCUUGUUGCUACCGCCAACUAUACAUGGUGGCCUAGCCCGCCGUUACCUUCUUAUGCAUGGUUUUUGUGGUGGCAAGGUGGUGGUCGCUAGUGGUGGCAAAAUUAGUAAGUGUUGGGUAAAAGGGAUAUGAAAUUUUUUAAGAAAGUUGAGUUUUCAAAAAUUGAUUUCUUGUUGUUCGAGAAGAAAACUUAUUCAUGAUUUAUCUUUCAUGAAAAUCCCAAAUUGCCAUUAACAACUUUUCGAACACAAUAUUUAUUUGUUUGAAAGUAUUUCUUCUAAGAAAUCCCUUGCUUUAAUGAGUCGCUAAGUGAUUAGUUUUAAAAGAAAAAGUAAACUAUUAGUUUUUGAAUUUCUAGAUCAUCAUAAAGAGGGUAUUUAUCAAAGCUUAAAUCAUGUUUUAAGGAUUUUUUUAAUUUAUUAUGUAAUUUGCCAUGAAAACUCCAUGAUUUGACAAAAUAGAUGGAGUUACUUAAUACGCAGCUCCUUGCUCAUCUUAUUUGGUUAUAUACUUUGUUAAUGAAGAUAAAUUUGACUAAAAUGGCUAUGAUGAGGUGUGGAUUAGUAGACUGAGUAGAGUCUUUGAAAAUUAGUUUGAGUCUUAUGACAUUAUUUCUAAACAAUGUCAAACUAUUUUUAAGCAUAGUCUUUUUUUUCAAGUAUUUUUAAUUAGUUAGUUGGUUGUCAGUCUAGGCUAUGAUAUAUAGAUUUAUACUUUGACAAAUUAUCGAGCCUUUCUACUGCAAUGACAAUUAUACUUCUCCUUCAACCUCUUUUUCUUGCGCAUCCAUAUAUUAGUGUUACUUCAACAGCAACACCAAAUUCAACAACAUGCCAAUACUUUUUAAACAUCAAGAUGUUCUUGAUUACUAUACUCUAACGGUGAUAGUGACCAUCAAAAUUUAGAAUGACUAAUUGCAUAAAACAUUUAGAAACCAUUUGUAAAAUUUUGUUUUUAUCUCUCUUGCUUGAGGACUCUUACUUAAAAAACUCCAUUAUCUUUUAUUUGUACUAGUAUUAAUAAUAGCUUAGAGAGAUAGAGAGAAAGAUAGAGCGAGAGAGAGAGCAAACAAGAAGUUCUCUUAACUUUUACUUUUUAGGUCUGCACACCUAUUUCCUUCACCGUAUACAUGUUGUAUUUUGACUUGCUAUAGCCUCCUAUUAGCUCUUUGCAAUUAUCAAUGAUGGAGGAUAAGAUGUAAGAACCAGAACAACCGUGUUCAAUUAAAUUAUGAGAUGUGCAUGAUAUUUUGUAAAGCCAAGAUGAUUCUAUCUCUGAUUGCCCAUUUCUCUGAUGUUGAAUUGGUAGCAAUUCCAAUGUUUCUGCUAAACCUAGCCAAUCACUAUCCUAGAUGAUAUCUCAAGAGCCCACCAAUACCUGCUUUCCCUAGAUUACCUAGUGAGGCACCAUCUGUGUUCAACGUGACAAAAUGGGCAGGGGAAAAGGACCAACAAAUAAGAAUUUUAAUUUUCAAGAAACUUCGUUGCUUGGAAGGUCCAAUAAAACAAAAUUUAGAUAUAAUGAAUAAAUAAAGUCGUAAAAGAUCUUUAGUUCUCUUAAUAGGAUAAAAAAUGAACAUGUUUUAGUCAUACCAUAAAUUCCAGCAAGCAAAAGGAAAUAAUGUGCCCUACGGGAUAGGAUACACACUUGCUCUUGUGUUUUGAAAGCAACCCAUCUUUAACUAGUCACAGAAAGAGAGAUUAGUCAUAACGAUGCUCUAGGAAUUAAAUCUAAGAGAGUUCCAGAAUUGAAGAGCCUUGGAGCAAAGUCUAAUUACAUGCUCAGAGGUCUUAAUAUGUCACAAAAAGGACAUGAAUUAUCAGUAAUGAUAUAUCUCGAAUACAACAUAUUUUUAGUAGGCAGUUUGUCAAGGAAACACAACCAAAUAAAGUGUUUAACUCUCAAUAAAGCUUGAAUGCUCCAAACCCAAGAAGCAUUGAGUGGUUGAGAGAUAGACUGAUAAGGCUUAGGGAAGUGGAAAGAGAGCUUGCAAGCUUUUUUGGACCAGAAUUUGCCAGCGGAAUCAACAGCCCAAAUAAUGGCUUCUAGGCCAUGAUUAGCUUUUUCUUUGGAAUUGCUUUGAUUUCCUGAGUGAUGGAGUCAGGGAGGUCAAAAGAGAUAGCAUGCAAAUUCCAAGGCUAGUUUGGACCAAAAUAGUUUUUAACAAGGAGUACAUCAUUUCCUUGAGCAAAUGGACCUCGAAUGAGAUUUCUAAGGAGCCCCAUGCUAGUACAAUUGUCAUGCGAGAACCUAAUGUGAAGGCCAUUUUUUAUAAUUCAAUGUCUACUAACAUUGAAAAGGUCAACCCUUUGGAGAAGGCAAUUUUGUUAAUGGAUCUAGGGCCUUUUUUGAGAAAGAGUUUCCUAUGGAUGGUAGAGUUACCUUGAUCUACGUAUUUAGCCCUAAAAAUGGUGGCCUAUAAGCUGCUAUUAUCAUUGUAAAGUCUCCAAUUGAGCUUGGCUAAGGCAAUCUCAUUUGUGGCUUUCAUCUUCUCAAUGCCAAGAUCUCCUUGAUUUUUAGGUUGAGUCAUAAUGUCCCAAUUGGUAACACUAAUUUUCUUAUAUUUAUUAGCACACACCAAAGGAAACGCUUGUGAAUUCUACCAAUACUCUCACAGAAGGAACUAGAAAGGGGUGCAUAUGAAUGUAAAAAGAAGGAAUUGCAAAGAUGGCUUAAUAGAUAAGAGUUCUCUUAGCAACUAGAGAGAGGAGAUUGGCUUGCCAACUAUUGAGUUUUUACUAAUUUUUUCUACACUAAAAUUGAAAUAAUUUUUACUGACUCUCUCAUGGAUUAGAGGAAACUCAAGGUACAAACCAAGAUUGCUAGCCUCUCUAAUGCCUAGAGCAUUGGAAAUUUAUUGUCUAGUUCCUUGAGAAGUGUUAGGGGAGAAACAGAUCCAAAACUUGUCAAUGUUGACUUGGAGACUAAGUUGAGAACUCAUCUAACAUUUCUCUCAUAGAGCAAAUUUUGGAGAAAAGUAUGACAUCAUUAGCAAAUAGGCAGUGUAAUAUGAAGGAUCUAUUUUACAGAUAGUAAUUGGUUCCCAUUUCUUAUGACUAUAGACUUAUUGGAUCUUAAUAGAAGGAACUCCAUUAGGUUUCCAAAUUUCCCUCAUUCUUAGAAAGAAUACCAUCAAGUAGUUUUGGCUAAGUCCAAUUAUUCUAGUUUGAUGGCUGAUGUGCGACCAGAUCCUAAUCGCCUUUAUUUUUGGGUGUAUUAAGAUGUUUAUUUUUUUUCUUCCAUUAGCCUUACUGUUUAAUACCGAUGUCGAGCUAAACUUUUGCAGAAUUUCUAUUCUUGGCAUGGUGCUCAUGUUGUGACAUUGAUUUGGAACUCCUGAUCUUAACGUUGGUGAGAGAGAAAGGUUCAUUACUAUUGACUGCACAUCCUUCCUCUAGUUCUAUCUCCCCUGCAUUUAGGUGGUGCUGCUCAUAGGAGGGGUUAGGAUCUGCAAAUUUAGGUUCAUCUACAUAGAGCAAAUUAUGAUGUUUAUGCAUCCCAUAUGUUCAUGCCAGGAUCUGCAAGUUGGAACAUUCUCUUUUCUAGUUUAAGCAUUCGGAUAGGUAGAAAAAGUUGAAUCAUAAGAAUCAUUAGAUUUUAUUUAACCAUCAGUAUGUCGGAUCUGGUUGAUUUCAAUGUGUGGGACUAAGACUACCAUAUAAGCGUAUUACAUAAGUUAUUUUUUUUAAUCUUCAAUGUGUUUGUUAAAAUGAUAAGGUAGAUUAGGGUAUAAUGAAAGUAAUUGGCUAAUCAUUCCUAAAUUGAUUAAAAUUAUGGAUAAGGUAUGCACUCGAUGAUAUGAGUGAAAGAUAUUCUAGAAUUGUAGUGACAUUUUUUUUUUACUUUCUCUCUAUUCAUCAUAGGCUAGUGACCUUUUGUAGAUAACUUAAAAUAGAAAUGAAUAAAAAAAGGAAAUUCCUCCAUCAAUGCAAGAAAAUGAAAGGGCAAAAAAAUAAAGAUUUUGCUUAAGAAAAAGUUUACAUUAUUGGUUUAUUGUUUUGCUAAAAAAAAGGUAACACUAACUUCAAUUAGUAGUUAAGGCAAAGAAGUUUCUACCUAGUGAUGGGUUUUAUUUUUUCCUAGUAUCUUCGAUUGGUAAGCCGAAAAAUCAAUAUGAAUUGGCUAUUUUUCAAUGUCAUAAUAUGCUCCCUAUACUUGGACUUGGGAGAUGCUUUAAUUGAAGUGAUAAAUUAAAUAGAAGCAAAAAAUUUCAGACAAUAAACAAUUAUUGGGAUGUAAAGGCCAACUAAUUUAUGUGUGGCUUUGGUGAUCAACUAUGAAAUAUGGCAAGAUUAUUUGGCUAUAUUAUCCAAAUAGUACUGUUCUUUUUUUAAUAAGUUUUCUCAUAAAUACUUUUCAUUAAUGUGCUUAUGUUUAUUUAUAUAAUUAUAACAAUGUUAAAGAAUCCAUUUGCAGUUCAAUUGUGGGUAUGCAGAUGUAAAAAAUGGUGGUAGUUGCUUCGAAAAAGUUACUCGAAAGUAAGAGAGUUUUUUUAUAGCACAGUAUACAAAAAUGAGUUAGCGCUCUUAAAGUAUAGGAAUCUUGAAGUUGGUCAUAGGAGGAUAUGGCAAAAGUGGAGUAAGAGGGUAAAAGAUACAUUUUGUUAUACAUUUUUAUUUUAUAUGUGUUACUGUAUUUAGUGUACAAUGAGAUGUUCUUUAGCUAUUCUUAGAAAUAAAUGGUAGUUCAUUUAUGUUAUUGUUGAAGGUAAUUUGACCUAGUAAGAUGCACCUGUUUGGUGUUCUCUUUCAAGGGUAGGCAAUCUUUUGAAGGGAUUGGAUAAAGAAAAAAAGCAAACUGUAUGGAAAAUUAAAUGUAGUGGCUUGGUAUAUGUCGAUUCAAUUAUAACACCUAGUUUCUUUGUCAAUGGGUAAUGAACAAUUUUAAUCCAUGGACCUGUGAGUUGUAGAUGAAUAGAGGAAUUAGCCAAUGAAAGAGAUAGAUAUCUAUACAGUAGUUGGACUACUAUGUAGCAAUCCUAUCCCUACAAGGUGCUAUAAAAAGAAGAUUCUUGCAGGCAUAAAAGAUUAUUAAAAACCAAAGACUUACAAUGUAAACUGUAAAGGAUGACAGUCAAGCUCAAAUUCAAGAUAAAGUUUGUGCUUUUUUGUCUAUAGGUGUUUUUUGUUGCCUACAUCAAAGUUGAACAUCUUUGUUUCAUUAUGGUUACAUUUGGUUAAUCUUGAUUCCAUUAUAAAUAUGAAUUGAUGCUUGUACAUGUUAGAUUUUUAUGCAUCUACCCGAAAGAAUGGAAAACUAAUAGUGGAACUGAUGAUAACAAAUAGAUUCUCAGAUGUGUAUUCUUCUUUGUGGUAAGGGCCUAAUUUGUUAUUCAUUUCAUAUGUUAAAUUUUGUAAUGGCUAAGUAUUAACCUUAAAAAUUGAUGUAUUGAGCAAGGUGCUAUACUUCGAUUGGGUUGACAUUAAACACCACAGCAUAAGAAAGACAAGUUCAGCUGUGAGGGCCUGAACUAAUGAAGCAUUUAGGUAACGAUAUCUCAUAUAGUUGAAGCAGCAUAAGAAAUUUGGUCAUGCAAAAGUAUGUGAUAAGUUAUUAAUUGAAAGUCUAUUUAAUCAUUGCUAGCUAUUGUUGUAUUAAUUAUUCAAUUCAUUUUUUUUACUUGAUGGCAAUUGUAGCAUGGUCAGCCGUACAGCUCUACUGCUGAUAGUCUUAUAUUAGCUAGCUGCAAGGCAAAGAAAAAUACAACAAUAGCUAGUCUUAAUAUUGAUGCCAUGUCAAUACUUGAGGAUUUAGAACUAGGAGAACUUGUAGUAUGACAUUAUUCAGCCCAUUGUAUGGACAAUAAUUGAAUAUGGUGAUACUAAAAGUUGUAUGUGGUUCUAAGUGCUAACUCUUUAACUUGUUUCUAUAGCGAUCUAUGAGAGCUAUGUUUAGUAUGACAUUUGAUCUCACAAUGGUACCAAUAGCAAAGGAAGAGCUUGGUCGAAAGGCAGUGAAGGCUCUUAUAUUGAAAGUAUUUCAUGAAAAAGACAUACAGUUAUUGGUAGAUGGUCAUAGUUGGCCGAAAAAAUGAGAAGGCGGCUAGGAGAAGGAAGAGGAAUAGAAUGAAGGCAAUGGAGAUAAAAACUAGGUGAAUUUUGAUGUCAAGAAUGAGAAGGAAUGCAAUAAGGAGCAUACUAAAGAGAGAGAACCCCCACAAGAGCCCGUGGCCAAAUAGUUUGAGAUUUAUAAGACUGGUAGCAAUGAUAUCAGUGUCGAGGGAUCAAUGACAGUUAGUGAACACACAGCUCUGAGCAUAUUGACAUAUACAUUAUUGCAACUAGAACUCCCAUGUUAUAACUAGAUGCAAGCAAAAAGUGAACUACAUGAUCGGUUCACUCCUCUAAAUGACAAAGGUAAUUGCACAAUAAAUUUCAUGUUAUUGACUAGCCAAAUAGUCGUGCAUUUUAUGUUGUUGCAAACUUAAUGUAAUUUUAUGCACUAUUAGUAUGAUUGAUCAGAUGUUUCAAGUUUUGUACUAUAUUGAUUAUUGGUUGUGGUCAUCUGUCAUGAUGCAGUUGAGAAGACAAUGGUGAGACAGCCUUGAAAGCAAUCAUUGUCAUGAGGGGCGGCGAUGCUAUAGAAGGAUGAGAAACAAUGACAAAUCCCAAUGGUGAAACAGAGUUAGCCGAGAAUAUUCCUGUGCUAAUAAAUGUUCCUAUAUAGCAUGAAUGCAUCAUAUACUACAUAUUCGCCAAAGAUUCCAAUAGAUAGAUAAUUUAUGGUUGGGAGUCGAGUGCAUUCAUUUGAACAUAAUGAAUCUCAAAAAAUUUGUGCCCAAUAGACAAGUUGUUUAUUGUGCAAGCAUUGCUAGCUAAGUCCACUUUUGAAUAACAACAUGCAAGUAAAAGAAAAGUUACUUGGAAAAAUGAUUGUUAUGAGUACAUGAUUUUUGUCAAAUUUUUAUAAAUAACAUAUAUUAUCUCGGUGGUGAUAAUCAUAAAUAAUCAUUGCUAUAACAUAUCUUAGUUAAAGUGGGAGAGGUCAGGCGUAGAAGGAUGACAAUGUGAAACAAACGUGUAGAAUUAGUCGACUUUUGUCAAAUUUAUAAGCAAUUAAACACUAGCUGGAUAGACCAUCAAUUUUAUUCUUUUAUUUUGUUGGAUGGGGUUGAUCAUGGGUAAGAUUGUGUGUAAUUAUUAGGAGUUUCACCUGCUCAAAACUAUAUUCUAUAAGUGACAUUAUUCACUUGUAGUUACAAGUUGGUGGAAAUGCCUAGGUUUUCGCUUGUAGAAAGGACUUCGUACCUUUUUUUUGGUAAAGAAAUCAUUUUAUUCAGUAUAAAUGCCGAUGUAUUAUAGUUCUUUCUCUAAAUCUCUGGUUUUUGUAGUACCUUAACUUUCAUUGACUUUGAAUGUAGAUUAUCCAGAUGUAUACGCGCAUUUUGAAUAGGAGAAAAAGGAAAAGAGUUUAACAAGUUUUUUUUGUGUGCUAAUGCUGGUGGUUAGUAACAUCUCGUCCUCAACAUUUUGCUGAGAAUUAGAAAAAAUUUCUUGUAGUUACUAGUUUUUAUGCAUAACCAUUGACUAAGUUUUGUCAUAUUUUUCUAUGUAUGAUGAAUAACAAGAAAGAAUUCAUUUGCAUAAACAUUUGGAAAGAAAGGUUGAUGCAAUUCUGGCAAAAUAUUUUCAGUCGAUUUCAUAAUAAAUGAUACUUGUGUUGACCUCUCAAAAUGUGAAAUUGUAAGAUUUUUUUGGAUACUCCAACAUUGGAAUCACAUUCGUAGCCAUCAACAUUGCUUAUUUGACAUUGUCACCAAAAAACUUUCAACCAAUCAUGUGAAAGAAUCAAUUGUCUCAUCAUAUAGUAGUGCCGCACCAAAAUCAACAAUUUGUCGGUGAUGAUUGAAGUCAAUAAACGCUCCAAGUGGCCUGUACUCUUUGUUUGUCCUAUACAUUGUGUCGAAUGUAACCGUCAUCACCGAAGAACAAAUAUUCAACUCUUACUUGAGCAUUUGUCUAAAAAUCAUUUGUGAUAUGUUCCUCAUAAUCUAAUUUCAUAGUAUAGAAAUAAUUAGGGUUAUUACCAAUCUAUCAUUUAAAGUGCCACAUCAAGAUUCCUAUCUUACUAUACAUUAAACUCCUCCUCUUACUAGUCCAUAGGUACCUUCUUAUAUCCUCCCAUGUGUAACUCAAUUUGUGUGCUCCCCUUACUUGUUUCACCAUUAAGUUAUACAUUUUGGUAAUUAAUAUAUCCGAAACUUCUACAAGUUCAGCCUCAAUUGCUUGUGCCUUAUUUAUCUUUCUCUAUGAUACAAUCAAGUGCUCGAAUUCUAGGAGAUAUAGUUGGUGAUUAUGUUCAGUAGCAAAAUCUGAAAUCAUAUACUUCUUUAAUUUUCUAUUCAAGAUGAUACCUAAUCGUAGAUUCUCCUAUAUUUUGCCUUCCUUAGUGCAUGUGAAUCUCCUAGACAUUGGCGCUUUAUUGCUAUUUCUAUUGCUGUACUCCCUUCGCAUACUAAAGCCUUCAACUGUUGCGUAAGAAUUGUAGAAUUCAGAAGUGUUUUCGUCUAAGUUAAACUCCAUUUGCAAACUUGGAAUGCUGCAACUAAGCAAAUGCAUCCCCUUAUCCUUAACAUGAUCCAUGCCCUUGAUUUAUAAAAAAUAAAAUAUAAAGUUGUCGAUACUCCUUUCAUUUCAAGUGCUUCGGUCACAUUCUUUUAAGUUCAAUUGUCCAUGAUGUGUAUAGUGCGUGUUACGUGAAAUAACUGCUUAUUUACACUUAACCACUGCAAAUUUAAACUAUAUCACUAGACAUUUUUUUCUUUUUUAUCCCAAAUAAUUUCUAAACUAACUUCAGUUAGUUAGAUCUCCCAUUAUCCUCUAUUUUUUCUUAGUUCUCAAAUCACUAGAUAGUGCUCAUACAUUCAACAAAAAAGCCACACAAAAGGGAUCAGUCUUUGCUAUGAUUAACUAAAAAUAAUUAAAGGAUAAAAAUUCUCACAUUAUACAUAAAGUAGUAUUCAGCUCCUAGAACAAUUCUGACCCAAAAAUAAUAAUAAAAAAUAAAAAUAGCAAUUUGGUUAGAUUACAAUUUUUUAUUGAACUUUUGAUACGUAGGUAUCAAAGUAUUCCAAACAUUUUGAAGCUUUAAACACUUCCAAAACAACAUCCGUAACCAUCCUUUCUCCACUCAAAGAUUUUUCUUAUUUUAUGACAUAAAGUAAACUCAAUUCUUUAUAUACAUGUAUUUGCAUCUUUACUGCUCACUAAGUCUUCCCAUUCUCAUACUGUAUAGGAUUUGAUUAAAAGUUUGCUCAUUCACUUUUCAUCUUAAAAAGAUAUAUAUCACCAGCUUCAAGUCGGGGAUGUAUUGCAUACCAGAUAUGAGAUUUGUUCUUAACAUUGGUUGAUAAAGCUUAUGCCCUUUGAAUUUGAUAGUCCACCAAAUCUGGGAUCCCCAAAUCUAAUUUGAUAACAACACUGAAUGUAGAUCCACUCUUUUCUUCUUUAAUUUUCCUCUCAAUUUAAUCCCAUGUUUUCUUCUUUUGCUGCCAAUAAGAUAGCUCAAGAAAAAGAAGCAAACAGAGCACAAUAAUAGAUAUAUUUUGUAAAACUUGAAGUUGAUUUUUGGCUGUAAGCAGAUGAUAGCCUCUGUCUGCUAUUAAUUUCAUUCAUCAAAUUUCAAAAACGCAAAUCAAUUUUUUUCCCUAAUUCUAAAGACACAAAUUUAUUUGUGUAACAGGUGUGAAACACCAUUUGUUAGUUUAGCCGCAUUUUUCAUUUUAUUUUUUUGCUCAAUAUUAUGUUGUUUUGGCUAGUUUUAACUUAAGGCUCAGUGGUCUAAUCUGAUCCAUCUAUUUUGGCCUUUUAAUCUCAUCUACAAAAUUGCUGGAAAUGGAACUUACGAGGCCACGUUCAUGAUCCGUCUACCCACCUUUUCUCUCCUAGAUUUCAUUACUCCAUCCCGCUUGCCCUUUCUUCCUUACUGCUUCCUUUCCCUUCACUUUCUCACCAACUUGCCCUUUCUAUCUUUGCAUCCAUCUUCUCAAGAAAAGGGUAUGAAUAUGGGAAAAAAGGGACCCCCUUACUCUUUUCUCAUUUGCCUUUGCUUCCUUUCUCUUCCCACUAUCUCACUAGCUCAUCCUCUUUCCUUACAUCCUUCUCCUAGAGAAGGGGGAUAGAUAUGGGGAAAGAGGGGAUGGAAGAUGAGAAGAAGGAUUGGAAAAAUGGAGCUAUGAAGAGUGCAAGAAAAGAAGAAGUAGAGAAAGUGAUAGAUGAAGGGGUGAAUAAGAGAAGUAGGUUGCGAGAAAAGGGGUUGUAGGGCAAUGGUAGGGAAGAAAAAGGUUGGGAAAGGAGAGGGGCAGUUCGAAGAUGGAAAGAGUAGGAAGAGGGAUGGUAAGAGGGGGAGGCAUGGGAAGUGUGAAAUAAAUAAAAUACUCCAACACCACAUUUGGUAUGCCAAAAUGCUCAAAAUAGAUAGGUCUUUCCACUCAAAAUGUCAUUGUACUUAAAAUGAUACGAAAAAAUUAAUUAUUCUAGAAUUCUCGUAUGUGAGUUAGAAUGGAAUACAUUUUCAAUAUUUGUAUAAUAUAUUUUUAGAUGUCAAAAAUGAAAUAAAAUUUAUAAUUUUUGGCUUAAUUAUCCUAAAAUAUAUUAUAAAAUAUUACAUUUUUUUUUUAGUUUUUGUUGUGUUUGUUUCUACUUUACAAGUAAUUUUGAUUUUUUAUAUUUUAAGAAUAAUUUAUGUACACAUUGAAACAUUGCAAUUGUACUAUUUUAUUAAUUUUGAAACAUGAAUUACCUUUUGUUUCCAUUAGCAGUAUAAUUACAACUUAUUAAAAUUAAAUUACAUGAAAACAAACAUUCAUGACUCUUUCUUUAUUAUGCUUUCAUUGUCUAUAUCACUUGAAAAAAAAGAUCUUGAUACAUUUUCAACAAAAAUGUAGAAAGAUGAUAUCUUAAAAUUGACAAAGAGAAAAAAAAUUUAAACAAAACUAGAAUCAUCUGUCAAAAUAAAUUAUAGUUAAUUAUUGAUUUAAUUAAGAAAUAGCAUAAUAUUUAGUAAUUGAGUAAAGAAGUGUAUAAGGGAAAAUUUAUGACGACCCCACCUCCCUCUAAUGUGUAUCCAAGGGUUUGACGGACUGUCUGUUCAACUCUCGCCAGGACUCACUACAUUAACUACAUAAAAUUCUCAAAAUAACCGUUCAAACCUCCAAAUUAACAUCAGACUUCUACAAUUUAACCAAUAAUUCAAAUUUAAUUACAACUCAAAAGUGAAAUGUAAGAUACACCAUCAAAGAUAAAAAAUACUAUCUGUCUACUAAAAGUACAUGUGCAAGAGGAUCAGCACAGGCUAGUUCAAACUUAUCCGCUCUGGACCUCAACUCUUGUAAGAAAAAUAAACUAAUAGGAUAAGUUUACGCCUAGUGAGGUACCCAAACAAGCAUCCAAGCAAAACACCAUUCAAAUCACAAAAAAUAUUUCAUUUAAUAAUUUCACACACUUUGUACAGUAAUAAACAGUCUCAAAACAUUCAAGAAAUAACAUUCAAUCAUUUAAAGGAUACGAGUUCAUUUGGAGCCAUUCAUUCAGUCUCCGCCCAUCCCUUCUUUGUAACUUUCAAUAUUUGAAAACAAAAACUCUUACGGUGAUCAUUUAAUUCAGUUAAUCAUUCGGUCAUUGCAUUUCAUUUACUGACCAGUACUCCACCCGGUUUCGUGGUCAUACUCGAGUAUAUCAAAACAGUGGCUCAGGAUUACCAACCUACCCAACCGAAUCCACUUCUGGCUCGAAUAGGCUAGCAACGAAGGAUAAGGGUCCAAUUCAGCCAAUGUGAUAAAAGUACACAUGGCUUACAUUCAUACUCAAGUAAUAUUUAAUCAUUUGAUUAUUAAAAAAUUCACAUUCACUUAGGUCGAGUGCUGUAAAGUAUACACUCGCCAAACAAUAGUAUAGUGAUCAUUGAAAUAUAUUUAACAGUCAAAUAGGUAAAUAACCACAUAAUCAAGGCAUCAAUUCAUAAACACAAGGAACACUCACCACUUGACUUCAAUGUUUCCACUUCAAACUCUGAUUCGUCUGCUCAAGUCCUGUGGUCAUAUAAGCUUUUAAGAGUCUAUUCAUUUAAAAUCAAGAUAAAUGAGAAAAUAUGAAUUCGAAACUUCACUUAACAAACACAGAAAAUUGCAGGUUUAACCCUAAUAUAGCUUUCGAAAGGGCCACAAUCUCUUGUUCAAAUCAAGUUCAAAUCAAGGGAAAACUACAUGUAUGAAGUCUAUGUUUCAAGUAUAAUAUGGAGCAAGAACAUGUUAAUUAUAACCAAGAAUUUUGAAGACAACGGGACAAGAUUUUCGAGGCACAAAACUAGAAAUUUCGAGCAAGAAAAACAUGUUGAAGAAAACUCAUUUUCCUUCUCUUGUCUUCUUUGUUUUGACUCAAAUCCAACAUAUAAGUGAAGAUUUAGAUUUAUCAAAGUAUCUUGAGCAAAACAUUGCCAAAAUCACCCCCAAAAUUUUGGAAAUCAAAGCUAGAAAAUGGCCAUUUUCUAGCUGGCCAACUCUAAUAGAAAUUACAGCAAGUUUUUUUUUUCAAAUUUUCUAACAAAACUUCCAACCUUAUUUUCUUGGCGAAACCACUAUCAAUCAAGAUAUCAUGUCAUGAUAUAUAUGAACCAUUUUCUUAGCAAAACAAACCCAUCAAAAUUUCACAUAUUCAAAACUCUAAACUAAACUAACUAGAUUAUGCACCAAAGCUAAAAAUUGCAACAUAAUCUUGACAAACCAUGAAAUCUUCCAUAAAAAUCAUGCCUUUGACCUUAUAGAGUAUCAUCCAUUAAAUAGACGCAACGACAAGUGAAGAAAGAUAAGAUUGCUAUCAAGUUUACCUCUUAAAUCCCACAAAAUGAACCUGAAAAUUCACAACAUAACCUGAAAAUCAUGAAAGAUAAGGGAAAAUUUGUGAGAACCCGUAAAAAACCCUAAUCUUUUCCGAGGGUUUUAUUUCUUUUAAUAGCAUGUUUUCUGCAUUUCCUGGCUUAGGAAAUUUUCCUGAGGAAUUUUUAUGAGUAAUUAUAGUUUUUAGAUGAUUUUUCUAGUAUUGGAGAGUUUUUGAAAAAUUAAGAAUAUAUAUUGGACGUGGGACCCACUAGUGCGAAAAGUUCGGAAAAAUUCGGCCAAAAAUGUAGUUUCGGGUACUGUGUGAAAUUUAUCGGGUGUUAAGAGAUAAGUAGAGAGUGGGAUUUGAAUGAUGUGAGAGGAAAGGAAAAUGAUAGGAGUGCAUUUAUGAAGUGCCACGUGUCGCUUGGUGAUUGGUUUUGACUUAAGAACACUAUUCACCUUUUUUGACUUUUGACCAAAAUUGGUUAAAUAUCUAAAAAUUUCACAAAAAAUCACCAUUUUCUUUCACCUUGUGGCCGGCCCUCUCUCUUGCCAAGAAGGAAGAAAACUUCUUCAAUCUUCAAGCUUGCCACUAGCUCAAAUCAUCCAAACCAAUCACACAAACUAGUUUCCACUCCAUACAAUCUUUCCAUUUAGUGUUAGUGGUGAGUUUGGUGAAGUUUUUGGAAGAGCUAAGGUGGUCUACAACUCCUCUUCUCUUGUUUACUAGGUAAGUGAUGAUUGAACAUCCUCUUAUAUCUAAUGAUGCUUAUUUUGUGCCUAAUGGUGGCUUGGGUGAUGGAAUGUGUGAUUUAUUUCUUGAUUUGAAGUGAUUUGGUGAAAUUUUUAUUUUAUUGAGGAAUUUUCUGGUUUAAUAUGAAUGGGAUGUUGUGACUAUUUUUGAUGAUUGGCAAUGGCUUAUAAUGACUCUAGUAGGUGUGAAUUAUUGAUAAUUGCAAUCAAUUUUGGGUUUGGAUUGAAAUGAGAAAAGUUAGGGUUGAUAACCCCUAAUUCUGUCCGGUUUUGGAUCAUAAGGUUAGAGGUCGAAUUGGACUUUGCUCAAAACAUGAAAGUUGUAGGUAUUGAUGAGUUUGAAGUGCCUGCAAAAUUUCAGGUCAUUUGAAUUAGUGUAGAGUGAGAUAUGUCGAUUUUACUGUUGCUGUUCUGGGUUGAUCAGAAUGCGAAAACUGCACUUAUAAUUGGCCAUUUUGACUGGAAUUGCUUUGGAUUUGGAUGUUGGUGUCUUCUGAUGAAAUGUAGCUGAAUGUCUUAGCUAUCAUAUGCCCUUGGAAUCAAUGCAUUUGGACUUGUAUAGACUGAGUUGUACUGAUUACAGCAUUGUGUGAUUUGUAAACCUGUUUUUGGUGGUUCUGGUUUAGUAUUUGGCAUAUUUGACCUAGUUGUGCUAGGAUUUGGUUUGGGUGGCCUUCUACAUUGUUGUAGCCCUGUUUUAUAGCUUCGAAACGGUGGGUCUUACACCCCCAUCCGAUAAUCGUAGUGGACUUGGUGCUAUUACCGCAUAAUGGAGUCAAAUACGGUUUCUUUGUUAAGGCUUAAGCUAAAGCCAUUUCUUAAUUUCUGGUUACCAAUGAUGCUUAUUUAUGCAUAUAAACCCUAUUGGGGGUUAUGAUUGGCAUUGCUAUAUGACUCGUUAUCGAGUCUCAUUAUAUUUGUUUACGUGUUCUAGGGCGUGACGGUGGUUCACGACAUUCUCCUGACGGAAGUGCAUGAAAUAGCACUUAAUUGAUUGGUGAGUAUACUACUCACUUAAUUGUUACAAUGUGGCUUUGUUAUAUGUGAAUUUGAUGCCUUGAAGGCUUACUUGGCUAUUGGAAUUGAUAGAGGUGAGGGUGUACUUAACCGCCCUCACCCCUUGUGAUCUUCAUGACUGUUUACCGUUUACUGAAAUACUGCAAUUGAUAUAUGAGAUAUUGAAUUCCUUCCAUGAAAACUGAUUUGGUGUCGUUUGGACGAAUAUCCAACGGCCUUACUGUAUUACUGAGCUCAACCUCAUUGGUGGUCAAUUGAAUCGAGCCGGCGAGGGCUUGGUCGUGAAAAUUGACUUGCCACGGGGACUGUACUGGGGAAUCUUGUAGUAAUGAGACUCUUGGUUCCGGUAUACUCAAGUAUUACCAAAAGCUACUGAAUUGGAGUGCGGGCCCGGUUGGGGUAUGUUUGGUGGAAGGAAUGGAGUGAAGUGAGGUCUACGGUCGGGUAUUCUUAAACAUUGACGGAGGGUCAAUGAGAUUGGAUCAAGAAUGUAAGCGUGGAAAUGGGCUCUUGAGAGCCAUCCGUAUCCUUUUACUGACUUGUUUUAAUUCUUAAUUGUGUACUCGAAAUGAAAGAUUAUGCUUAUAUGAACCUUGUUGCUUAUGUGGUAGUAACUCACUGGGUUUAACCUCAUUCCGUUCCAUUUGUUUUCCUUACAGGAAAAUGACCACUUUUGGAAAGAUUAUACUUGUUGGUUGUCAAGUUGAGCUCAUGUAAAUGUAUCUUUUGGAUAGCUCUUCGAAUGAAACCCUAAUGUGUAUUGGGUUCACUUUCUUUUGAUUGGCAAACCGAACAUGUAUAUUUGUAAUGAAUGGUUUUGAUAUGCCGCUUUGGCUUGAAAAUGUUAUAUUUCAAUGUGUGUAUGUUUGGUUGAAUUUCGGAUCAACUCGUAUUUCAAACGACAAAAAGAAAAUUUUGGCUACUCUCGGCCUAGUAUCUGGAUUCUGACGUGGCCGGCGUUGUUCAUCAUCGGCGCGUUUUCAUUUUUUUAUUUUGUAAUUUUGACUUGUUUACGCGCGUGGGUAUGUUUCGGAACGUAUUAGAUCGACGUGAACUAAUCCGUAGUCCUGGCGAGAGUUGGGCAGGCAGUCCGCUAACCCCUUUGGUUCGCCUUAGGAGAAAGUGGGGCUGUUACAAAAUUUCUAUCAAAAUUCACCGCUUUACCUCCAAAAUCUUAGAUGGACAGCCAAGCAAGAAGUACUCAAGGGUUUCUUCCUCCAAAACUUCUCCAAUAGCUUCUUUCCAAGUUUGGUUCAAGGUUUGUCGGAAUAGACUACGGUUUUCUCUUGUUGUCUCUCACUAAUCAAGCAAGAAAUCAAGGCUUGAACUUGGAGUUGGUUUCCUCUCAAGUAUUUCGGCCAAGACAAAAUAAAGAAGGAAGAAAUACUGAAGAAAGAAAAGAAAAGAAAGAAAAGCUUAUCUUGGUCAAGGUCUUGGUCAACUUUGGUUGGCUAUUUGACAAAUGUCAAGAAAACAAGAGAUAUCUAUCUCUUUGUCUCUCUAUUUGUCUCUCUAUUUGUCUCUUGUUCACCAAGAUAUUUAGGGUUUCUCCAAUUAAUUCUUAACACCUCAUGUCACAUAGUGUCUUUUGCGCAAAAUUCCUUCUAAUCUUCCAAAUUUUUGCGCAAAUCAUAAUGCAACCAUUAAAACAACAAAAAAUUUAAGACAAGUAAAUUCAAAUAAAAACUAUAAAGACAGGUAGAAUUUCGGGUCCUUACACUCUCUCCCCCUUAAAAGAAUUUCAUUCUCGAAAUUCUAACCUUUGUUCAUUCUACAGGAUUUCCUCCAACUCUCAAGGGGCUUCCCCUCACUCGUGGUGCUACCACAAACUUGUCUAGAGGAAAAAUCUUACUAACGUAAUGGCUAAAUUAACAUGCUAAGAAAGAUCAAUAAAGGUGUUAAAAGGUGCAAGGUGAUAUAAACUUAGAAGUCAAUGAAAAGAAAAAAUUGUAACUACGCAACUUGGUUGCUACUUUUGUUAGCUCUUAACCUCAUACACUAUGCGUUGUCAAAUCGUCCACAAUAUAAAUCCCCUAUCAUCUCUACAAUUGUAUCACUAGGCACAUAUCAGCCUCUCUAAUCAAAAUUUCUUCCUUCCUAAUCACAAAUAAAAAAUUCAAGACUAAAUUGCCGCAAUUGACUCAUGGAUAGGGAUUCAAUGCCAACCAAACACAGACAAUUAAUAUCACUAAUACAAAUAUCAGGAUUCAAGUUCAAGAUUUAUACCUGGAUUCUAACGUACUACACAAAACUUUCGCUCCAUAUAGUUCAAUAGAUACAACUCUUCCAAAUAAAACAUCGUGAAGAGCUAAUUUCGACUAAAACUGCAGAUUUUCCCUUUUGCGAAAUACAUUUGUUUCGGACAGUCUCUCAUUUGAUGUCCAAGAUUGCUGCACCUAAUAGCUUGCCAGACAAAUCAAAGUACCUAAGGGAUAACUAAUCACAAUUCAUUCGAUUCCAAGCUAUCCAUGAACAAUUAAUCUUUACUUUGCAACUUAACUAGACAAGAAAUCUAAUACAAGUAGGAAUCUCGAGAUACUAUGACAUGUAUUUUUAUUCUUGGUAUGGUACAAAAUAGUUACCCUUCUCGUUUAGAAAUUACUCCUAUCCGCUUGAUUUCAAAGUUCCACACCUUAACUCACUCUCUAUCACACACUCAUCUCCAAUAGACUUGCUCAAGGGUAGUCUAUCAGGGGCCAAAAUCUAUUACAAGGGAUCUACAUAUGUGGUUGUAGUUAGACCACUUUAAAAUUAAGUAAACACUUAACAAAUUUGCACAUUCAUAGGAGAAGAGAAAUAGGGCUGCAGUGCUAACUUCUCAAACAGGUACGACAAUUUAGCUAUCAUCUAUAGAAACCCUAACCAGACAUUUACUAGACUAAUCCAUGAUGGCACUUCACAAUCCAAUCUCCUCAAUUGGUUCAAUUCCUAGGUCAAAAAUUAGAAUCUUCCGCGCCUUGACCUUUGCUAUCAAAACUUUUCUCAAAUUCAAUCGUGAUAUCGACUCUCACCCUAAUGCUCUCAAUUCUUUAGUACUCGGGUACAAGAAUCCAAAAUAGGAUAAUUUACAACUCGAGUGUGUCAGAUCUAAGAGUAAAUCAACUACAUUUAAGCUUCUUAUCUGACGUACAUAUCUAAUUUUCUCAACAAUGGCAAUUUAUUCCACAUUUAACAAGUCAUUCCCCACAGUCUGAGAACCCUUUUCCGGCAUAAGUUCAUUAAGAGUUCUAAUACCACCUGUGACGACCCUACCUCCCCUUAGGAUGUACCCAAGAAUUUGGUGGACCACUUACCUCACUCUCGUCAGGACUCAUUACAUUCAAUACAUACAAUUCUCAAAAUAAUAGUUCAAUCCUCUAAAUUAACAUCAGAGUUCUACGAUUGAAUCAAUAAUUCAAGUUUAAUUAUAACCCAAAAGUGAAACGUAAGAUACACCAUCAAAGGUCAAAAAUACAAUCUGUCUACUAAAAGUAUAUGUGCAAGAGAAUCAGUAUACGUUAGUUCAAACAUAUUCGCUUUGGUUCUCAACUCUUGUAAGGAAAAUAAACUAAUGAGAUAAGUUUACGCCCAGUGAGAUUCCCGAACAAGCAUCCAAGCAAAACACCAGUCAAAUCACAAAAAAAACUUCAUUUAGCAAUUUCACACACUUUGUACAAUAAUAAAAGUCUCAAGGCAUUCAAGAAGUAAUAUUCAAUCAUUUAAAGAAUACGAGCUUACUUAGAGCCAUUCAUUCAGUCUCCGCCCAUCCCUUCUUUAUAACUUUCAAUAUUUGAAAACAUUUGAAAACAAAAACUCCUACGGUGAUCAUUCAGUCAGUCAUUCAGUUAUUGCAUUUCAUUCACUGACCAGUACUCUACCUGACUUCGUGGUCAUACUCGAGUAUAUCAAAACAAUGAUUCAGGGUUACUAGCCUACCUGACCGAAUCCGCUUCCUGCUCGAAUAGGCUAGCAACGAAGGACAAGGGUCCAAUUCAACCAAUGUGAUAAAAGUACACAUAGUUUACAUUCAUGUUCAAGUAAUAUUCAAUCAUUUGACUAUUGAAAAAUUCACAUUCACUUAAGUCGAGUGCGGUAAAAUACACAUUCACCUAUCAAUAGUAUAGUGAUCAUUGAAAUACAUUUAACAGUCAAACAGGUAAAUAACCACACAAUCAAGACAUUUAAUUCACAAACAAAAGGAACACUCACCACUUGACCUCAAUAUUUCCAAUUCAAACCCUGAUUUGUCUUCUUAAGUCCUGUCGUCAUAUAAACUUUCAAGAGUCUAUCCAUUUAAAACCAAGAUAAAUGAGAAAAUAUGAGUUCGAAACUUCACUUAAUAAAUAUAGAAAAUUACAGAUUUAACCCUAAUAUAGCUUCCAAAACGGCCACGGUUUCUUGUUCAAAUCAAGGAAAAAUCACAUGUAUGAUAGGUCUAUGUUUCAAGUAUAAUAUCGAGCAAGAACAUGUCGAUUAUAGUCAAGAAUUUUGAAGAUAACAGGACAAGAUUUUUGAGGCACAAAACUGGAAAUUUUGAGUAAGAAAAAUAAGUUGGAGAAAACUCAUUUUCCUUCUUUUGUCCUCUUUGUUUUGACUCAAAUCCAACAUAAAAGUGAAGAUUUAGAUAUAACAAAAUAUCUUGAGCAAAACCUUGCCAAAAUCACCACAAAAAUUUUGAAAUCAAAGUUAGAAAAUGGCCCUUUUCUAGCUGGCCAACUCUAAUAGAAAUUACAGUAAGUUUUUUUCUAAAUUUUCUAACAAAACUUUCAACUUUCAACCUUAUUUUCUUGGCAAAACCACUAUCAAUCAAGAUAUCAUGUCCUGACAUAUAUGGACCAUUUUCUUAGCAAACAACUCAUCAAAAUUUCACAUAUUCAAAACUCUAAAUUAAACUAAUUAGAUUAUGCACCAAAGCUAAAAAUUGCAAUAUAAUCUUGACAAACCAUGAAAUCUUCCAUAAAAGUCAUGUCUUUUACCUUAUAGAGUAUCAUCCAUUAAGUAGAUGCAAAGACAAUUGAAGAAAGAUAAGUUUGCUAUCAAGUUUACCUCUUAAAUCCCACAAAACAAAGCUGAAAAUUCACAACAUAAUUUGAAAAUCAUGAAAUCCAUAUCUUUGUCAAGGAAGAAAUAGUGAAGAAAGAAAAGUUUAUCUUGGUCAAGGUCUUGGUCAACUUUGGUUGGCUAUUUGACAAAUGUCAAGAAAAGAAGAGAUAUCUAUCUCUUUGUCUUUAGUUCACCAAGAUAUCUAAGGUUUUUCCAAUUAACUCUUAACACCUCAUGUCACACAGUGUCUUUUGCACAAAACUCCUUCUAAUCUUACAAAUUUAUUGCACAUACCUCACUAGUUAGUCACAUUAGUAUAUUGCACUAUGAAACUUAACAUGCACCAAAUUAAACACGUACCAAAUAAAUAAUACAAUAGGAAAAAAAUCAUGACGCAACCAUUAAAGCAACUAAAAAUUUAAGACAAGUAAGUUCAAAUAAAAGUUAUAAAGACAAAUAGAAUUUCGGAGCCUAACAAGAUUUGACUUUAAUAACUUUGGACAUUCUAGGAUAUAGGGCCUGUUUAGAAGUCAGGUUUUUGGAUAAGUUGUUUACCUACAAGUUUUUUAACAACUUUUGUUAUAGGAACCCCAAAAAAUCUUCUCAAAGUUUUUUACCUACACACUUCAAAAUACCCAAAACACACAAAAAAAAUUUCCUUCUCUUUUUUUCUUCUUCCACCCCUAUCCCAACCCAUACCACCGCCGGUGUCGACCACCACCGCUGUUUUGUCCCCUAUCCUGCGGAGAUGCGCCUGGCUUGUUGAUGGCUGUGGAGAAGGUGCAUGUUGGGGAAAGGGCAAGGGGGUGGCGGGGGAAAGGGGUCGGGCUGGGGAAAGGGUAGGGGGUGGCAGGGGGAGGGGGUCGCCCUGGGGAAAGGGCAGGGAGGGUGGCGGGGCACAGGGGGUGGCGGGGAAGAGCGGGGGAAAGGGAUGGUGGGCAUAGGAGGGUGGCGGGGGAGGGAGGGCAGAGGGGAGGAGAAGGGGAAAGGGAGGAGAGGGGUGGCGCGGAGGUUGCGGGGCGUGAGUUGCUGUUGGGAGGUAACAGGGAGGAAAGAAAGAAAGAAGAAGAAGAAAAAGGAAGAAGAAGAAGAAAGGAAAGAAAAGAAAAAGGAAAGAAAGAAAAAGAAAGAGAAAGAGAAAAAGAAAAAGAAAGAAAAAAAAGAAAAGGAAAAAAAACUUUUUCACUUUACAAAAACUUCUACAAAAUUUUUUAUCUUAUAAAAACUUUUACAAAAAAUUUUUUCACCUUACAAAAAUUUUUACAAAAUUUUUUCAAAACUUCUUCAAUGUACUACAGUAAAAUUUUAGACAAACUCCCAAAAACUCAGAUUCCAAAUAGGCCCAUAAUUGAAAAGAGGUUUCCUUAAAAUUUUGUGAGGGAUGGGAUUUUCAAAAAUAAGAAAAGGUUUUUUCAAUUCGAAAGUUCAUACAUAUUCUAAACGAUUUUUACAGGAUAGAUAAGGGGAGAAAGUUUUAACCCCUCCCUCCAAAAUAAAUAAAUAAAGAAACCCCUUGAACAGCACACAUUUUUUUCCAAAAAAAACUUUUUCUACUAUCAAGUUCUUUAAAGGACACCCCAAGAAAAUGCCCAUUGAUUUCUGUAUAUUAAAUGGAAGAUUUGGUACAUAAGUCCUCACAAAAUGAGCAGUUUAAAUUUACCCUUUCAAGUUUCAAUGCAUUGGUAAUGCUAGCGGACCCUUUUUACUAAUUAACAAAAAUUUGCAGAUGACCUGUCAGUAGAUCUUAGCAACAUUGUUGUUUCAAGAACUCUUUCAGUCUCUACUCUCGGACAAAACUCUUCCAAAGUUCUAAAACACGCACAGCACGCACUGACUGGGAGGGAGGGAGGGAGCUGCAAGCAGAAGCAAUGGAUGCCUUGAGAAAGCAGGCCAGCAAGCUCCGAGAACAAGUUGCCAAACAGCAGCAGGUACCCCUAUUUUUAAUUUUUCUAUAUGCCAAUACCCUGAAUUAUUUGCCCAAAAAAAUGUGUGAAAUUUUGAGUGGCUCUUGAUCCAGUAGCAAAAUUGGAUUGCAUAAGUGCAUAUUUUCUGGGAUUGAUCAUAAGAUUAAACAUUUUGUCCAGAAGGGUUUCUUUCUCAUAUAUCAAGAAUAUAAGUGAUGGUUGAUGCUGAAUUCUGUAGCGGGUUUGGCAAUUUUAUUCGUUUACAUUUAAUGAAGAUAGAAAAAAAAAAUGGAACUUUCAGGCUGUGAUAAAGCAAUUCAGUGGCAGCGGAUAUGAGAGUUCAGAUGUGAUGGUAAUUGAUGAAGUGGAGAUGCAAAGGCAUCAGCAAUUAGAGAAACUGUACAGGUCUACUCGUGCUGGAAGGGUAAACAUUUUCUUGAUAUUGCACUAAUCACAGUUUGAUGCUAGUUCGUUAAUGAAAUUCUAUGUAGAUUAUUUGAAUUUCACGAGGUUAUUUGGCGUGAUUAUUGAUUGUGGGAUGUUGGAUCAGGUUACUUCUUGUAGGCCCGAGUUAGUUGCUCAGUUUUGAUUGAGCAUUCAUCUGGUCUUGUUGUCCCAAUGUAUUUGUUGUGGCCCUAUUUAUUCAUCUGGUCUUGUUGUUAUAUAGAUGUGAUCAACCAAAUGCUUAAUUGACACUUUAAAAAUCAUUGAAAUGUUGGGCUCAUUUGGUGAACUUUUUCAAAACACUUAUUCUGAGGCAAUUGAUGGGAUUAAUACUCUGGCAUUUGAUCUCUGCUUCUACCCCAAGCACUGUUACCAAUCUAAAACAAGCGUUUUCUAGUUUGUUCUGUCCCUGAUGUGCCUAUGAUGACUGACACUUACUUUUAAUAUGUAUAUGAAAUCAAAUUUUGAACUUUGGAGUCCAAAGUCAUCAGAAUUUCAUUUAUUUGGUUGGACGGAGUGACAUUGGAGGCCAUAAUUGAAAAGGGCAGUGUUUGCAUUUUCACUGGAUUUUUGCUGGCUGGACCUUGUGUCUUAGUGUAACUGUGUUGUGCACCUAAAUUACUUUUUUAAAGAAUUAGUUUUCAGUUAAAUUUGGUUUUGCCUUGUACAUAGAUGGAAUUUUAGUUGGAAUAUUUUGAUUGCAAUUGAGAUGUAUUAAAAAACGGUUUGUGUAGCAGAAUCUCAAUUGAUCUGUAUAUUACUGAUAACUUGGUAUCUCUUUAUAAUACAAUAAAAAAGAACUAAUGUUAUAUACCUCAGUUUCACAUUAUGACAAUUUAAUUCUCUGUUCAUUUUGGUUAACAGUAAGGUAAUUCUUUUCAUGACGACCAUGAACCCAUGUACAGAAACCAAAAGGGUGGUAAUUGGUAAACGGCUGCAUUCCAAGUAUAGUGCUUUAGCAGAUUUUGAGAUCACUUAUUUGAUCAAUGAGUUUGAGGGUUCUGAGCUUCUAUAACCAUUGUUACAUUCCUAUAAUAUCUAGCUUAGAUUACCUCUUUUUCAAAGUUUAAAAUCUUUCAUACUAUAUAUGCUUUAAUUGAAUAUCAACAUUUAUCCAUGCAGGAUUUUCAGAAAGAAAUCAUUAAAGCAGCCGAAACAUUUACAGCCAUAGGGUAUAAGCAUAUUGAAGCAGGUUUGAAUUUGAUCUUCUCUGAACUUCUAUUAUGGUAUAUCUAUCCAGGAAUGUAUCUAAAACUAUGGUCUUAAACGUUUAUAUUUGAACUGGUCCUUUUUCUUCUUGAUGGCCCAUUUGUGCUAUCAGAAUUAUCUCACUUGGUUUGCUUUGAAAUUUUGUUUAGGCAAUAAAUUAUCUGAAGAUUGUUGCAAAUAUGGAGUUGAGAAUGGUCAUGAUGAAAUCCUAGCUAAGGCUGCAACAAUCUAUGGUGAUGCUCGUAAACAUGUGGAAAAGGAGCAGGAAGACCUGAACAAGAUGUUGUUUUCAGAGGUUGGUUGUCUGCAUAACUGAAUUAGAAUUUCUAUGGUAGACAAAGUAGCUGUAAAGAUGUAGCGUUAGCAUACAUGUCUUCGAAACUAGCUGAAGUUGCUGAGUAUUCACAGUUAAUACUGUGUUAAGAAUUGUUUCACUUUAUUCACAAUCUUCUGUCAACCAUUCACCCUGCUCUAUCAUUUUAUAUAUUGUUGAGACUAUGCUUUUAUCCUUCCUUAUUGGGUUGAACUCUUGCUGAAAAGUAUUGGAUUUAAGUUCCUUUAUCCAAAAAUGUCAAAUUUAAAGUUCGCUGGCUAACACUGUUGGCACAGAAGAGGUUGAAGCUGACAACCGUGUUGACCAUUUCCAAAAAGAAAAUCUAAAAUGAUUACCUUAGGAGGUUUGUCAUUUUUGCUGCUCUUUUGGUCCCCCUUGUAUAACUGAAGUGAUUGAUGAUCAUCUAUCCUUUAUGUCCAACUUUUAUUACCGGUUUAUGCGCAAUUAUCUUAGAUGCUCCUCUGUGGAGAAGAUCAAUUGAUCUUUUACUUUUCUUUCCUUCUACAUAGGCAUUAGGAUUAACUUCUAUCAUAUAUCAGAAUGCUGGUUUUUGUCUGUCUUAAGGUUAUCAAUCAAUUGACUUGUACCAGUUGUUAAGAUAUUGAGUUUCUGUUGUUUAAUAACAGCGUAGGAUACAAGCUUUCAUUUGUAUACAGUUAAAAUGAUAGAUAUUGGUGGAGGACAUUGCAGAAAUGCUGAUUACAGAAUAUAAGUUGCAUAAGAUAAAAGUAAGAAGAAACUUAGGAGACUGAGAGCACUAUUUACUACUGAAUGUGAGCAUUAUUUCAACUCUGAUGAUAAGAAAAAAUUGAUAGAUAGAAAGACUAGUGACUAUGAUUUAGUCGAGGUAAAAAACCGUUUUAGUCAUGCCCGUUCAUGCCACAAAAUCAGUGCUCUACCAUUGACCUUGUAUUAAUUCCUUGUUCAAUAUAAGCGCAUAUUAGUUAAGCGAGGACUGCUAGAUAAAAGCUCAUGUGUCCAAGAAGAAACUUGCUGAGUAUUUGCCUGACUUGUCAUAAAAGAUGAUUGUCUGGUUGUGGAUCUUUAUGCUGGAGUCUGUACAAUGUGUCAAAGAAGAAACUUGCUGAGUAUUUGUCCAACUUGUCAUAAAAGAUGAUUGUCUGGUUUUGGAUCUUUAUACUGGAGUCUGUACAAUGUGCGACUAUUAAGUGCUUACAGCAGUGUGACAAACACAUAACUCUAAAGUUCCAUUAAAUGUGGUGAGCUGCAUUUGGGUGGGUUUGGAGUUGGUACUUGUUUAUCUAUCGGUUUAUGAUGCUAUGAUCCUGGUUACUUUAGUACUUCUUUUUAGCCCGAAUAUAUUGAUGAGUUUGGUUGUUUUUCUGACUUCUAGUACCAUUCUUUUCAGUCCUGUUGGAUUCAAGUACCUAUGCAUUCUGCUGUCAUCUAACGUUCUAUUUGUCUUUCCCUCUACCCAAAUUUAGCUUCUGUUACAUUUACAGCUGUGAUUUUCUUUUUCUCAGUUAUCUUGAUUGGUUAAGUUGUACCAGUGAUUGUUGCAAGAAAUUCCAUACUAUAAAUUACCAUGAAAAGAUAUCAAUUAUCAAUACAAGAGAUUUAUCUAGUACAAUUUAGAAUAAAGACUAUAUAGGUUGAUAUUUGCAUGCAAUUAGAAGUGCAGUGCUAUUAUAACUACAUGUCAUUAAUUUAUGACUACAAAAUAUUCUUUUGUAACCAGGUUUUAGAACCCUUGCGAGCAAUGAUAACAGGCUCACCUUUGGAAGAAGCUCGGCAUCUUGCUCAACGUUAUAGUCGAAUGAGACAAGAAGCUGAGACCCAGGUAUUACAGAUCCUUUUUUUUUUUGGCUUUUGAGCAGGUAUUAGAAAUCUUGGUAUAACCUGUUUUUGAUUAUUCAUAAUAUCUCAGCUUUUUUGCUUUAGAAUAUGAGUAUUUUAACCAGAAAGCAUGAAUGAAUUUCAAAAACCGAACAGGCGGUGGAGGUUUCUAGAAGACAAGCACGAGUAAGGGAAGCUCCAAUUCCAGAAAAUGUAGCAAAGCUGCAUGCAGCUGAAGCUAGAAUGCAGGAGCUCAGAGCAAACAUGGCAGUACUAGGCAAAGAAGCAGCUACAGCAUUGAGUUCUGUAGAAGCUCAGCAGCAGAGGCUAACUUUUCAGAGGCUUGUAGCAAUGGUAUGAAAGAUCUGUUACCAUGCUGUUGGGAUAUUGAAGUUGCUUUGGUAGUUAAUUAUGCAUUUUGUUUUAAGGUCGAAGGAGAAAAAAUAUAUUACGAGAGGAUAGCUGCUAUUCUUGGUCAGAUUGAAGCUGAGGUCGGUAAUGCACUUCUUUUUUGAUGAAAGGAUGUUUAAUGAGCAAAAAAAUUUUGGUUGAUAUAAUUUUUAUGGCAACAGUUGGUAUCAGAUAAGCAACGGAAAGAAGCUGCUCCUCCUGUAAUUCCAACUGAUCAUGGAUCUGAAAAAACCAAAUACUUUCUGGCUGAGGUAACUAGUUAUUUGUACGCUUAUAACAUUUGUCUUUCAAUUAUUAGUAAAGCAGGAUUUGCUCACUUGUACUUGUCUCCUGCAGGCUAGGAAUGCUUUUGAUGCUGAGACUGAGAAGGAGCUGAGCUUGGCAGUGGGGGAUUUCGUUGUUGUUCGACAGGUUGCUUCACUCUCAAGUUAAUUUCUUGUUCCUGUUUCUUUUAAUUGAGGUUUAGCUUUACAGAUCAGAUAGAAUUAGGUAAACUAUACCUAUAAGUGCCAGAGCAAAGACAUUCCCCAACCCUAGAGAACCCUUGGAGCUGCUGAGGAGUGGUUGCCUUUCAUUCUCUAUGACAACUUAUACUCCCUGUUAUCAAGAAACAGAAUAUCAUUCAGUAAAUAGAAUUCCUCAUUUUGUCCAUAACAGAAAACAAAAAGAUAUCUUUCACAAAGCUCUCCUGGGCUGGGGUGAACCUGGGAGGGGCCUGGCUGCCCAAGAUCCAAAAACUUGUCCUUUUCCUUUAAGAUUUUGAUAAUAAGAAAGCCUUUUGGAAUUCGAAAAUGUGUGCUGACGAAUUCUUAAUAAAUUAUACAUUAUGUUAAAAAUCUUUUCAAGUGUAAGUUCUAUACUAUAGCCGUGGAAAUUUAAUCUUGCUGCGCCUUCAAUAAUUAGUUUUAGAGCCUUAAUUUUCACUGUUGAAGCUACAAAACAUAAAUCUGGAGGUGAUAUGGACAAGAAAUCCAUACUAAAUAUCUUAAAAUACCUUGCUAGAACUUAUUAAGUAGAAAGUAUUUUCCCCAACCACCCUUCUUUCAUUCUGACCACCAGCUUCUGCUCCCUCUGGUCAAUAGAGCAAGUCCUUGCUCCAUGCCUCUCUUUUCCCUGAAAAGCCCUAGUGCAAUCUGCGAAAUUGUUCCAUCUCCUACAGCCACUGGCCCGCCGCUCCCCUCGCUGCCUGGCCCCAAAUAGGACCAUUAACACCCAGACUCCCACUCAGAAUACAGUCCACCCCAUGACGAUCCCCCACAUCUGCAUUGCAAAUAAAAUUCAACAACACUAACUCCUCAUUUCAUUGCCUCCUCUUCUGAUGUCUAACUCCUAGGACAUAAGUUUCAAUCACCUCUUAAGCCACCAGUGCCCUUAUCCUACCUCCGUGCAGAAUAAAGAUUGCCAAGUUUUAGAUCUUUGUGUUAACAUAUUAGUUUUGCAUUAGGACACAAGUGUUGCGUACUUAAUGGUCAAUUUCCAGUUAUAUAUCAGUAUGAUUUGGCUUCUUGUACAAUGUUUUUUUUCUGUAUGUUUGUGUAUCUAGCCUUGCAUUUGUUGUUGAUGUGGAGACGGUUGGUUGAGGAGAAGGUUGCGAGCCUGUGACAAAUGGCUGCAAAGGAAGGAGGGUGGGGGGCUGGGCAGGGAGGAGAUGGGCUGGUCAAGGGGGUUUGGAUAUUGCAUGGUGGCCGGGGGGGGGGGGGGGGUAGGAGGUCAGGCAAAGAUGGGAGUGGAGAAUGGAGGGCAGUUGAAGGAGGAGACUAGGGUUUGGGGAGUGGGGGAAAGGGCGACAUGGUAGUUGGAUUGUGGCAUUUCUUGUUCUUCUCUUUUUGCUUUUGGAAGUUUGAGUAUACAUGAUGGUUACUGGCGUUUUGCAUAUACAAGGGAGAUCAAUCUUUGUAAUUAUGAAAACCACAGGGGAAGCCACUUAAUUUUGAUAAACCUCAAAGUACAAUUUUGUAAAUGUAAAAUAACAAAAAAUAAAGAAAGAUGAAAGAAUAUGAUAAAAGAGCAAUAAUGAGUUCAAUCUUGAGUUAAAACUGACUUAAAGAAGUUAUGUUGGUUAAUUUAUCCUUAUUGUACUAUGGUUUUAGGGAGAUUAGUUCAAUUUUGUGCAAGUUUUCUCAAUCUUUGUUGGGGUAAGCCAUAAGCAUACAGAUGAUUCUGAAUUAGAUAAAGAGCAAUUCUGAAUUGGUCUGGAUUUGUCUGUUGUUCUGAUUUUGUGUUCUUUGUUGAGAGCAUUCAUUUACUGAAAUUACUCUCUUUAGAGAUCUGAAUCCACAAGAUUAUCAGCCAAAACCAAAAUCAAAUCAAACUCUAUGCAGAACUGUAAUUCCAGAUGAUCAAGCCAGUGCACUCUUUAGUCACUAUAAAAACAGUCAGUGGAAAAGUUGAUUAGUUUGAGAUUCUUGUAUAGAAUACAAAGGCACAACAGGAUGACCUGAUCUAAACUGAGAAGAGAAUGUUUGGGAUUGAACUUAUGUAAACUGUAAAACUCAGAGCAAGCAACACUGAAAAUCAAAAUUUGAGAAGUGAAUCUUAUCCCAUAAGCCCACCAUAAGCCAGUUUGAGUCCAUGGAGGUUGUGCUUGUAAUUAACAGGAAAGUACAAUGCUGUCUGUUUCUAAGGAGCACAGAAGCACAGCACAAAUAGCUUAUGUUCACCGAGCAAUCAAUUUGAGGGAAAGAGGGAAGGGGGCAUGUAACAAGUUGCCCUAGUGGUUAACUAUGCACGUUUUAUGUAACCAAAAUGGAAUUAAGCUUUAUUUGCACCAAAAAUUAUUCCCAAGAGAUCAAGCAAGCUUUAGUUGAUACUACUCAGUAGAUACUCUUUUCCUAAGGAAUGUAAAAAUAAGAUGCAAAAUAAUUAAUGGGUUGAGGAAUGACAGAUGUGGCAUGUAACACAAUGCGCUUCCUUUUUGACAGAUAUGGGGUAUUAAGGUUUAAGUUGCACAUACGCUCACUUUAACCUAGUGAUCAUGCUUGUGUGUAUGUAAUGCUCCAUGCAACGAUCACAUUUUAAAAUGCUUCAUGAACAAAAACUUUAUGGUUUGUUUGGAUUGAGCAUUAUUUCCCCAAUUUUAUUUACUUACAUCAUCAUUACAAUUUCCAAUACACUUUUUUAUCUUUCCAAUUACCUUUUUAUCUCACAUACAUCACGUCAAAAAAAGUGUUACAGUAAAAAUAUCCCAAAUAACUUACAAUCCAAACAAACCCUUUUGUUUUUUUGGUUGGCUGUAACUAAAUUGAUUUUGUAUUGAGCUAAUUGAUAAUGCGCUAUUAUGAAAUUGAGCAGUAAUAUCUACAACAGAAAUCGUACUAGUUUACUUGUAUAGUGUUCUAAAGUUUCAAGACUUGUCCAGGUAAGCCCAUCGGGAUGGUCAGAGGGGGAAUGCAGAGGUAAAGCUGGUUGGUUUCCAUCUUCAUAUGUGGAAAGGCGUCACCGCAUUCCAACAGACACUGGGGCCGCAGAAGUUUUCUAGUUAUACAUUUGGCUGGUGAAUUGAAUUCCCUUCCUGGUUUGAAAUGCAAUUGGUCUGUCUAUGUAAUACAGCUCCAAUUUGAUAGUGUUAGAUAAUGGUUGUUUAUUCCAUGUUCCUUAUUCUAUUUUGAUGAGAUUAGAAGGUAAGCAGAAUAUUGGCGUAUACUUGAAAUGCAUGUAUCUUUAGUUUGCAUCGUUUUGGGUGACAUGUAGAAUCUAUAUAUUUUUUUGUUGUUACACGGUGUCACAUAAUCUGGAAAACUAUUUCAUGAGAAAAUGGUCUCUGUGAAUUUCCUAUUCUUUCUUAUUUUUUUCUCUAUCUGAAACAGAAGAGAGAGCACAAAUUCGAUGCAUUGCCUAACCGGUUGUUCUUCUCUAAGUGUUGCUACGUCUUGUGGGUUGACCGCACAUGCAUCUGUGUAACCUUUAGAUGUAUACAUUAAUGUGCAUGAGUAUUGUUGUGCCUAUUGUUGGGAAGAGUUCUGAUGCUUAUGGCAGGAUUAAGGGGGUUUUAAGCUCUUCUAGACAUUAUGUGGUGAUAGCAGCUGAUUUAAUGUUAUGCUGCUGAAAUUGGUUUAGAAAGAAUGUUAAAUCUGAGAACAUGCAUGUGUUGUAAAGGAUGCAACCAAAUCAAGUUUGUGUCAAAAGAAAUGUUGUAAAACAAGAUCAAAAGGCUUACAUUUGUAUGCUCCAUCCAAAAUAAGAAGGGUGUUCUCCGAAAAUAUAAUAGUGGCCUUGCAGCUAUUGUGGCUACCAACCAGUCAUUAUUCCAAAAGAAGAGCACUGGUGCAAGUGAAUCUGGAUAAUUGAAUUGAGCAGAGCCAAAUAUUUUGAUUUGUGUUAACGAAGAACUUUCUCAUCUUUGAAUGAAUGGUAAAUAGACUCUUCAACAUUUUUCAAUGGUUCAGAAGUUUGAACGUCUGUUGAAGUUUUGCAAUUUGACAGCUUGAGAUUUUGAUCAUUUGUUCAAGUUUGAAUAAGCUCUUAUUAAACAAAAUGGUAAUCAAACUCAGCCUACUUCAGCUAAAAGAAUUUAUACUUACCGAGCACUAAUAAAUAAGUUAACUAGCAGCAGACUUGUUCAAUUUUUUUGCCAAUUAGCUUUGAACUCUUAACGAAAUUCUUUUAUAGUCAAUUUAUUAGUACCUUGGUCAUAUUUUUCAACCCUAUGUUGGCAAUUUCAUUUCUUAACAAAAGCUGCAGGAUGAAAACAGAAGCUGCAGGAUUUAAACGUCAACAACUUCAAUAUGAUUCUUGAAUGAGCUUAGUUCACAACUUCUAUCCUUAAGCCAAAAAGUACUGAAAAAGUAUAACAAAUCAGACAAGUUCUGCCCAGAAAAGGGAUGGAAUGAAUUGGCUGAGAGAUUGCACAAUCUUCUUGCCACCUUUAGCCCAGAAUUCCUUUCAUAUUCAACACAUAGCUUGAUCUAAAAGUAGAAAAUGAGAUUUGCAGUCACUCAUUCUUCUAUGAAGUUUAAGAACUAAUGCCAACUUUCAUUAUUACGGAAGUAAUAGCUAACUUUAGAAUCCUGAAUAUCCAAAAUAAGAGCUAAGACUGGGAAUCAACAAAAGCACUAGGGAUGCUAUGUACUAAUACAUGUCCACAAGAUGCAGCAAACACCAGCAACUGUUUGAUUUUUCUCCCCUUUUUUUUCUGGUUUCAUUUUGAAGCCUAUGAACAAUUUCAUGUUAAAAUCUAUUUAAUGACUAGUAUUAUUUUCUUUCGGUUUUCAAAUUCGGGGGAUUCUUUUCAUAUAUUUUAAUCGUUUUCUUCGUGCACGUAGCACACGUUUAGACCUAUCAUCAUUGUCUUAUUACUCACCAUUCUCUUAAAAUCUAUCAAAUAGUAUUGAAAGUAGAACAAAAUUUAUCAACUACGUUAAGGGCACAUAUAUAUAUAUAUAUAUUAUAUUUCACACAAAUAUUGAUCUCAAAUGAACUUCUAAAACAGUCACAAAAAGGGCUUAAAAAAAAAAAGGCCUCCACCCAAUAAAGGAGAAAGGACUUUAGGUCCUCAUGAAACUAGUUUAGUAAAAAGGAGGCAGCCUUUAAAGCAAAUAACGAUUACAAUUAUCACUUUAAAUGGUGUUGGAUUCUGUCGGUCUUAUUUUGUUAUUCUGUUUAAGCACAACCCAAAAAUAGGGAAAACAGGUUUUCCUUGUCUACGCUGUUUAGGGUUAAUAUAACAACUUUCAUAUUUCUAAUUUCUUUGGUUUAUGUUUGUUGAAUUUUAAGAGCAAGAAUAAAAUCCGGUGUUCCAAAUCUGCUAAUGAAAUUGAUCUUGAGAAAGGAUAUGUCUAUUUGGUGACUUAAUAAAAAAUGGUCCAGGGCUUAUAAUAGAAAGAUGGUCUAGGUGUUAUUUUGGUGCAAAAGGGUGACUUAAUGAAAGCGCCGCCAAAAGAAAUUCUAUUAGGGUUUACUCAAAAAAAAAAAAAAGAAAUUGUCGAGCAAAAGAACGAAGGAGAAGAGUCGUCUGGACUUAAACCGGCUGGUCUCCUAUUCGCACGAGGAAAGAAAAAGAUCCCUUCCUUGCUUUUUUAUCCUACUUGGGCAUUACUAAUACAAAAUAAAAACGAGAAGAUUUGUUUGAAUUAGGAAUUGACAACAUCUUGCAAGAGUUCCAACUAAUCAGCGACAAUUUCAUGGGAUGCGGGCGGGCCACUUCAAAUCCCAAAGUAUCCAGAAGUUACCACAAAAGAAGACGUGCCCACGUCAUAUUGACAGAAAAUUUCACUUGUAAGCUCAUUUGAAUGGUAACUUUUUAAACAUUAAUAUCAAAAACAAAAUAUGAGUAAGGUAAAGUCUAUCAAUUAAUAUAAUAUUUUGCCAAAAUUAAAAGAUAAUAUUCACAAAUAUGAUGCAUAAUUAGCCUUCUAUCACAAUCACAUAUUAAAUGCCAAAAUUACCCCAAGGCAAAAUAGAUGAUCAUUUAGUAUACUUUUUGGAUAAUAUUUUUUUUUUAUACACUAUCAGCGUUGCAAGAAUUUCAUUAUACUAGUGGGAUUAUAUACAUACUAAUGAUUUUUAUUUAAAUUUAAAAUUCAGUUUUUGUACAUGUGACAUCUACAUCCAUUAGUGUAAAAAAAAAAUCUCUAUGCUACUAGUGCAUAAAAUAUUAAUCUCUUUUUUAAUGUACAUCUCUAUGAAGCUUUAAAAUUUCCAAAAAUGACAAAUUCUAACAUGGUUUAAAGCCAUUGCCUUUCUUGUCUGUAAUUCAGAUCCAACAAUUUUUGUUCUUUUUUGUCCAAGCGAGACUGUAAACCUUAAAAGUGAAGAAGGGAAAUGGAGGGGUUUUUAGUAACAGUCCUACCAACCGAAUUAGAUCAUUAAAAGGCAUUUAAAUGGUCAAGUUUUGCCCAAAUUGCUAACGUUCUUUUUUCCUUUUAAAUCACUAUAUGCAAAUGACUAGAAGUGAUUAAAAGCAAAAUUCAAAUUGCAUAGCAACAUUUAUUUACUAAUAUAGAGAGACAAACAAAAUGGGAGGAGUUUGAAGCACACGCAAGGUUGAGUGUUAGAUGGUGAUGAAAUUUUUAAAUAAAAUAGAAUUAGUUGAAUAUAACAUUAUGUUUUCUUAUGAACGGCACUUUUAGAUUAAUUUUGUCACUUGAAAAGAAUAAUUGUAUUAAAUUUAUGUUAUUCUCGAUUCCUCUUUUGUUUUUUUAUUAUUCUUUGUAGCAUAUUGUCUCUUAACUUUUGAAUUCAUAAAUUUUAGGGAUAAUUUUAGAAACCUCCUCUAAGGUUUUUGACAAACCUGAAGUUUGUAAAAUUAUACAAACCUCCCUUGAGAUUAAGUUUUUGAUAACAAAAUUAGUGCAAUUAGAAAAAGUAACAUUAAAAAGUAUUUUAAGGAGAGAGAUGAAACUUUUAUUCCAUAAAUACCUCUUAUGCAUGCAUAUAAUUUGUAUCAAUAAAAGAAUAAAAAUAAUUAAUAUACACAUUUCACCACUCAAAAAGUUUACAUUUAAUAAAUUAGAUAAUACAAAUAAGCAACAAAACUCCACUAAUGAUCACAAGAUUCAGUAAAAUGGACUAGUCAUCCCUUUUAACAUGAUGUUUGUUAUAAUUCUUGUGAUUUUGAACCAAAAAAUAUUUGAACAUUUGAAAGAAAGGAGGGAAAAAAGGCAAAAUUUGAAAUUUUUUCGUUUAAAAUCACAAGAAUCAUAGCAAACGUCAUGUCAAAAGAGAUGACUAGUCUGUUUUGUUGAAUCUUGUGAUCAUUUUUAUGUUGUUUAAUUUUAUUGAAUGUGAACAUUUUGAGGGGUGAAAUGUGUGUAUUAAUUGUUUCUAACUUUUAAUUAUUUUCAUUUUUUUACUAAUACAACUUAUAUACAUGCAUAAGGGAUAUUUAUGAAAUAAAAGUUUCAUCUCUCUCUUUAAAAUACUUUUUUAAUAUUACUUUUUCUCAUUGGGCUAAUUUUGUAAUCAAAACCGGGAGAUUUGUGUAAUUUUGCAAACUUUAGGAAAGGCUAAUAAAAUUAUCAAAAAUCUCAGGGGAGGUUUCUGAAAUUAUCCCUAAAUUUUAAUUGGAUAUCAUGGACAUGCAGAUGAAUACUUAUUGAGUACCCUAAAUUAUCCCUGUAUUUUAAUUGCAUAUCAUGGACAUGCAUUGGAGUUUGGAUUGGGUCUAAUGCAUCUAACUGAAAUCCUACUUAUUGAUGCUAAUCAACAUUUUCAUUAUUGUUUGAAUACAAAUUCCGUGGAAACAAGUUAGGCAUUCUAGUGGAAGCACAAAACGUACACAAAACGGUUUAGGCCCACAAAUCAAGAAUUCUCUAGCAGACCCCUUCUUUGGAGCCUAAAUUUUGGUGUCCUUUAUGUUUCAUAAGGAAAGAAAAAUAUAACAAUCCUUUUUAAAAGCCUGAACUUCAGAACAUUUUAUCUUUGUUGAAGAGAUAUUAAUUAGAAUUUUGACUUAAAAACCAUAUACGUUUGCCUAUGAAGCUCUCCUAAAUGGACUUACACAUUAAUUUCUUGGAAACAAAGUUAGGCGCACGUUUGCCGAACAUAAAUUCUAGGUUCAUAGCCUACUACAAUCAAAACUUAGCAGUUUAGACUUUUCUCAAAUUCAAUAUGAAGUGGAAGAAAAGUCAACAAUUGAUCUGCAUUGUUUGCACUAAAUCUCCGAAUUCUCACUUUGAAUCUUAAACUUCAAAAUAUGACACUUUAAUCUCUAAAUUAUAAAAUUUGUCAUACUUUAGUUUCUAAAGUAUAGAACUUGUCCAUUUUAAUCCCUAAUGUAUUAAAUAUGCUCAAAUUUAGUCCCUAAAGUAUACCCAGAUAGGCAUAAAAUCUAUCUCACUUCCUUAAUGAUAUUUACUUAACUGAGAAAAAUUUUAUAGUUUAAGAACUAAAGUAUCCAUAUUAAAGUUUUAAGGAUCAAAGUGAAAAUUUGGGUAUAGUUGGAGGGUAUAAAAUGGAAUUAACCAUAAAUAAAUCCUUUCCUCCCGUCAUAGCGCAUCCUAAGUAUGUGCUCCGUGCUCGCCCGCCCGUUUUCUUUUCUAGUUGGACGCAUUGAUCGAAAGCUGUAGAAAGCUAUAGUCCAAGAGGCAAUGGGCAAAGAUCUUUUAUAGCUAGUUUGGGAGAUGGGAUUUGAUAGGAAAAGAAAAGAAAGUGGGAGGAAGAAAUAUUUUUCUUUCAUUUGUGAGUUUACUCAUGACAGAAAACAAAAGAUUUGGCCUAAUUUGGAGGGAUUUAGUGUGCUGUUACAGUUGGAAAACUUUUCCGCCUACUUAUGGCCUGAUUUAGAUUGAGUGUCAAAGAAAGUCUAAAAUUUUUUCACAAUACCAAUUCUAUCCUUAGAUGAGCAUCAAACUAAAUUUUACUGACAUAUAUAUUCAAAAUCAUUCUAUUUCUUUCCUAAACUCCCAAAUAACAUCAAAAUCGCUACAAUUCUUUUCUCUUAUUUUCUUUUCUUUCAUAACUUAAGUUUUCUCAUCUUUUCUUUUAUAUCCUAUGCUCCCAUACUAGCCAUUAAAGAGCUUCCCACCGGAGGAAUUUUUUCAAUGGAGACACUGGCUGAGAAUCCAUUGGGUACCCCUAGAGGUUGAGGCAAUGUAGCAGAGUUUGAUAAAAAAGGAUCCACACUUUUCUACGCAGCAAUGAGCAGUUCGUUCCAAGACCCCAAGCCUCGUAUAGUGAGCCUCAAUUUUUUUUUUUUUGUAUCUUUAUGUUUUAGGAAAUUAGAAAUACGAUAUUAAUCCUCCUUAACCCCCUUUUUUUUGGAGGAUUUCCUUGUCCUAUAAAGGAUAAUUUAGAUUAGAUGCUUAUACAUGAAUUGCACUUGUAUAGAAAAAAAAAUUAAGGCUAAGCCCUUCGUGCGCUUAGAUUGAUAAUAUUACGGCAAAAAACCAAAUGAAAUCGCAUAAUUAAUACUAUGUUAAGCCUAUUUCGCAGGAUUGAAAGGGAAAAGUGGAAGAAAUGCCAAAGAUUCGCCACUUGCCAAUCUUAGAACUUGUCCAUUUUAAUCCCUAAUGUAUAAAAUAUGUUCAAAUUUAGUCCCUAAAGUAUACCCAGAUAGGUAUAAAAUCUAUCUCACUUCCUUAAUGAUAUUUACUUAAGUGAGACAAAUUUUAUAGUUUAAGAACUAAAGUAUCCAUAUUAAAGUUUUAAGGAUCAAAGCAAAAAUUUGGGUAUAGUUGGAGGGUGUCAAAUGGAAUUAACCAUAGAUAAAUCCUUUCCUCCCGUCACACCGCAUCCUAAGUGCGUGCUCCGUGCUCGCCCGUUUUCUUCUCUAGUUGGACGCAUUGAUGAAUUGAUAGGUUGCAAUUUUAUCAUUUAUUUUAUUAUUAUUUUCCCCUAUUACCUGAUCCGAUGUGGAUUAAUUGUUGAAUUUUACUCAUUUUUAAUAUUUUGUAUUUAUUUCAGGGAGUAGAACAAAAAUAGGAUAACAAGUGCCAAUUUUACAGAAAAAGAGUCCAAGUCACAGAGCUUAUCCUAGGGACAUUGUUGGCAAAGGAAAACUUCUGCCCAUUUUGGUAAUUGCUGGGGAAGAGAGCGCAGAGAGCCUUCUUUUUCCGGGGAGCCACCGCACAUCUAAGGGAUUAGAGAGGAAAAUUAGAAUUAGGAACAGGAGAUGAGCACUACCUUUAAUCUUUGAGCUUUGACUUUUCUUUUGUCACUGUAGUAGCUUUUCCUUCUUCAUAUAAAGACCUCUAGCUUAGCUUUUUUUUUUUGGACUUUUCCUUCUAGCUUUUGGUAGUGGAGUUCUCUUACGCAUGUCAGGAGCCUUAUGAAGAAUUGAAUCAUUCUCUGUAGUUGCUUGUUUUUCCUUAUUCAAUCGAACAAAUUGAAUUCUCACGAACAAGGCCAAUGGCUGCUACUGUUGCUUCAAUUUUUUGUGAAUUUUGUUCAUCAAGUAUGAACUAAUUUUCUCACUCUAGUUAAGGGACAACGGAGGCUUUGGUUCGCCUAAAAAUUGUGAGAUCGAUUUAAUUUUAUCUUUUCCUAUUAUUUAUUGGUAUUCGCAUAUUUCUUAAUUGCAGUACUUUUGAUUAUUUAAUUAAUUGACUAUCUUGGAUCCGGAUAAUUAGUUAACUUGAUAAUCUAUUGUCAAUUAGGGCAUUAAACUCGUAAUUGUUUAAUUGUCUCAAAACAUAUUAGGUUUGUGUCAGGGGAAUACGUGGCCUAAUCUAAAAUAACCCUGGUAGUGCGUUAUUUGGUUAGAACAGGGCUCCUCUAAUACGUAAGGCAAUUGAAAAAUUAAAUCUUAUAGGGGUAUCUAAGAUUAUUUCUCAAUUAGGGUAAUGAUUAACGGGCGUACCUUAAUCACCGGCACAGUAAGGAGGGGUUGACUGUCAUCGCUUGUUUGACAGUUAUAACAUAUUUAUUAGUAAAUAAUUGGAAUUGUCUUUAUUUCAAUGAUCAAUUAGGUGAACCAUUGCUGAAAUUAUUUCUUAACUAGAUCAUGAGUUAUCAUUCAUUUGACUUUAGUAAAUUGUUAUUUAAUUUUUAGUAGUUUCUUGAAUUUUAUUUGUAUUUAUUUGAUUGUUGCCUUCUACAUAAAAAUAUCCCUUGAUUACUGUAAAUUUGAAAAGAAACAGUUACACCCAAUCGCUGUGGAUUCGACCAUACUUACCACUAUUUACAAAAACUAACUUUAGUUGAGUAGGUUUUUAUUAUUGCACAUGCCCAAUACCCUGUCAAUUUUUGGCGCAAUUGCCGGGGACUGAUGCCAGAUUAAUUUGUUUCUUUUUGAAUUUAUCUUGUUUUCAUUUUCUAUUUAUUUUUCUCUUAUUUUUUUAUAUAGUUUAUGGCUGCUAACAUUCCGUAUUUUGAUGAUAGAUUGGACUUUAUUCUUGAAUGGGAUUAUAAGAUUCGUGUUUUUCCUAAUGAUCAAUUGGCUGUUGCAAAUUAUGGAACUUAUUUUGUUUCAAACUAUUCAACCAACAUAUGCCCUGCAUUUCAAGAUAACCUAAGUACUCCAAUUGAUACUUUUGGAGAUUUUCCAUCUCGAUUUCAAACGUGAUAUGACCCUUACUCAAACAGGUAUGAUCAAGGAUGAUGGAAUAAUUUCAAUUUUAAUUGUACAACCGGGCCAAUGUAGUUUCAAUAGCAAGAGUCUCAACAACCACCAUCCAUGUCAGGUAUGUCUCUUGAAGAAAUGAUUGAAUUACUAGCUACUAAUACAUAUCGAUUUCAUCAGGAGACACAAACGAGUAUUCAUAACAUAGCGGAUCAAGUGCAACUAUUGACAUCCGGGAUGGCGAAUCAAGUGCAUCUAUUGACAUCCAAGAUAACGCAAUUAGCUUCUCACAUGUGUGAAGAAUUACCCUCACAGACCAACAUCAACCUUGAAGAAGAUGAGAGUGCAAUUAUCCGGGCAAAUGACAUGGAACUGCAAGAGUUUCAAGAAAAUGGAUCUAAAGAUGCAGUUGAAAAGAAAGUUGAAGUGCAAAAAAUGAGACCCUAGUAUCAACUCGUUCAAGUGAAUGAAUCCAAUGAACGAUUUCCAAAUGCGGUGACAUCUCCUCCAUUCCUUAAUCAAUAUUCUCCUGACUCUUAUUUUUCAAUUCCUGUUAGUGAAAUUGACUUUAUUAUACCAGUAAAUUUUGAAUUUCAUGACUGGAAUAAAUUAAGAGUAGCGAUGGCAAGAUAUCUUGGACCAAUAAAUGCACGUGAGGGAGGAGUGAAUGGAGAAUUCAAAUUAUCGUUGACUUGUUUGGCGCCAUUUGUUAGUCCAUGGAAGACUGUAGCUCGUGUGCUCAAGGAUUACUCUAUUUACGAGGGUUAUAAGGACUAUAUAGAGGAUGAAACAUUAAAAUGACCUAUAAGAUUUUAUCCUCCCUGAACAAACAUGACAAUGUCUAGCCAAAGACGUAAAAAAAAGGCGCUCAUUGGAAGACAAUCCAAUUUCUUUUAGUCAUUUGUUCGAUUUUGUUUCAUAGUUUAAAUAUGUUUUCCUUGAAUUUGACUGAUUGUUUGCUUCAAUUUUCGUUUUUGAUGAUUCGUAGGUAACUAUCUAACAUGACACGCCCGCGUCAACUGGGCGCGUGGCACAUUGCGACUUCCUGGUGCUUAGUAAAAAGGGUUUCGAUCCCCUUGACGUUCCCGCGUCAAGUCAUCCGAGGAGCUCAUCGUCAGAAGGGUUCUGGUCCUCAUGACGUGCCCGUGUCAAGUCACCUGGAAAGCUCUUCACUUCGUGCCUUCAUGACAUGCCCACGUUAUGUUCACGGGAAAGGUGGGCAUUCAAAACCUCAGAAAAUUUUGAUUUCCUUUUAAUCUCAAAUUUUGAAGUAAUACAUUUUGCCUAAAAAAAAAUUUAAAAAUUUAAAAAUUUAAAAAUUUAAAAUUUAAAAAAAAUUUUUUCCCUGUUUAGUCGUAACUUCAAAUUUUGAAAAUCAACAUUCUUGAAAAAAAAAAUGAAAAAAAGAAAAAACCAAAAACUAUUUUAUUUUUCUUCCUUUUCUUUUCUUUUUUUUUCUUUCUUUUUCUUUUCUUUCUUUCUUUCUUUCUUCCUCUUUUCUUUCUUUCUUCUCCCUUGUUUCUUCCUCCUGUUCGACUGAAACUCCGCACGCCGCCGCCUUUUCAAUCCGUAGCCGCGCCGUCGUCCGCCUUCCCCUUUCAUCACCACCGUGCAACUACUCUCCACCCUCUCCUGGUGUUCGUAGCUCCAAUCUCUCUCCCAUACCUCCACUCUCUCCCUUUUUAUGCAGCUCUCUUUUUCUCUUGCCCGUCGCCUCUCCUUCUCACGUCGUGCUGCCACUAUCAGCGCCCGAAGCCUAGGCGACGCGCGUCUCCCCUCGUCGCUCUCUCUCCUUGCCGCCCCCUCCUUCAUUGAGACCGGGCUAGCCGUCUCCAGCUGUCGCGCCAUUGCCUCUACUGAAGACCACGAGCCGCACCGCCAUCGCACCAGCACUACUCACCCCACCGCCUCCAAGCUCCGCAGCCGUGCUGCUGCCAACAAGCGCCGCCACCCAUGGUUUCUGUACCCCCAGCCACGCAGCUCAUACUCCAUCUCUCGCACGCCUCCACCAGCAGCCCCGCUCGUCUCACCACCUGUCCUUCUUUCAUAGGUGGAGUUAUUGAAAUUUCUCCCUCGUUAAUCUUUUUCUGGGUCUCAAAUUGCUGGAUUUUGUUGCCGUUUUCUUGGGUUCCUUGGUGCAUAAUAGCAGAAGGUGACUAGCUUGUUUUUCACUUAUGCUUUGUUUAGGGCUUCUAUAAGCAUUUUUGGGUAGGUCAUUGCCAUUGCCUGUGGUAGUUCAUUUGUUUGGGAGUAUUUGGGGGGUGAUUUGGGAAUUGAUUACCAAUUGAUUCUCAUUUUGAUUUCUUCUAAUUUUCGGUACUCAUUGGUGUGUUUGGAUUUAUCAAGUGAUUUGGGUUGACUAUUUGAAUUGUUUCCUACUUGUGCGUUCACCAGUGGCACUGGUUGCGGUAGUUGCCCUGUUUUGUUCUUGUCCGAAUUUUGAUCUGCUAUUGCUGGAAUUGUCGAUUUUGCGUUACGAUAUUCACUAUCCAAUUGGAGACUUUGUUGAGAUUUUGGGUGGACAGAGUUUUGCAUUUGCUGGUUGAAUUGAGUUACGAUGUUUCAGAACUUGGGUGCGUACUUCCACCACAUCGGUUUCCCUCCACCAUUCCCGCCUACCCCUUAGCCACUUGAAAGGGAAGUUUUAUUGUCCUCUUUACUUUAGUUACUCCAUUGAUGACAAUGUAGGAUUUAGGUGUGGGAGGGAGCAGUUAUGGUGCUAAUUUUUCUAGUUUUUAGUUUUCAAAUGUUCUUCUUUUAUUUUUAGUUUGUUAUUUGUCUAGUUUUCGUUUACUUUCUUUUUUUUUUAAUGAAUACCAAAGUUUGAUGUUGGAUUGUUGACUCUAUAUCUGCUAUUGCCAAGUUUUAGCAAUGAAAGUGUAUCAAGUGGAUGUGGUUGAGUCUGAAAAUAUCUCUUUGGUGAAUAUCGAGGAUUGUGUGACUUUUAUGAUUUUUGAUUAACUUUUCUAGGCAUAGGGAAUGAUUGUUGGCAGUUUCAUGUAAAUUAGUCCAGUUAUUAACUCUAGUUCUCUAUGUUUGAAGAAAUGAGGUUAGCUGCUGCUAAUUUUUUUUUUUUGCUAUAUUAUUUUGAGUUAUUGUGUUAUUUGGCUGUGAAUAAGUUUAACUGUACUCCGCUAGUCUUUACUACUGAGUAACCGGGGAUCCUCAUCUAAAGUGUCGAUUUUCGCGUCAAAAAGUAGUAAUUUCUAUAAGUGCGUAGUCGUAUAGCGAUAAGAGUUGAGUAACCGGGCUCCUUCAUCUUAAAAAUAUUGGAGUUCGCAUCAAAAGACUCCAAUGGCUAGAGACCAAGUCUUUUGUGCUAUCAAAAAAAAAAAAGAGGAAAAAAUUAGAAAACGUGAAAAACAAAAAGUGAAGGUGGUGUUAGUGUGUGUGACAGAAAUCAGCUUGCUGAUUUAUGGAUCUAAUGUUGAGAUUUUGGUUAAUAUUUGGACCAUUUGCUGAUAAAUGUUGUGCAUCAUUCCUUUUGUCUUAGAUUAGUUAACCUGGAAUUGAAGGAGUCUGUGGUUUAGAAGCUAACCGGGGUGAUGUUUCUUGAAUUUUGAUCACCGAUGCUUGAUAUAUGUUUUUUCCUUGAUAUCUUGGCAAUAUGGUAGAUUGAGCAAUGGCCAUUAUCAAAUAUUGGUGUUUGUUUACUGUUCUCAUACCUGAGGACAAACAUGGUUUAGGUGUGAGGGGAAUUGAUAGGUUGCAAUUUUAUCAUUUAUUUUAUUAUUAUUUUCCCCUAUUACCUGACCCGAUGUAGAUUAAUUGUUGGAUUCUACUCACUUUUAGUAUUUUACAUUUAUUUCAGGGAGUAGAACGAAAAUAGGAUAACAAGUGUCAAUUUUACAGAAAAAGAGUUCAAGUCACAGAGCUUAUCCUAGGGGCAUUGUUGGCAAAGGAAAACUUCUGCCCAUUUUGGUAAUUGCUGGGGAAGAGAGCGCAGAGAGCCUUCUUUUUCUGGGGAGCCGCCGCACAUCUAAGGGAUUAGAGAGGAAAAUUAGAAUUAGGAACAGGGGAUGAGCACUACCUUUAAUCUUUGAGCUUUGACUUUUCUUUUGUCAUUGUAGUAGCUUUUCCUUCUUCAUAUAAAGACCUCUAGCUUAGCUUUUUCUUUUUGGACUUUUCCUUCUAGCUUUUGGUAGUGGAGUUCUCCUAUGCAUGUCAGGAGCCUUAUGAAGAAUUGAAUCAUUCUCUGUAGUUGCUGAUUUUUCCUUAUUCAAUCGAACAAAUUGAAUUCUCACGAACAAGGUCAAUGGCUGCUACUGUUGUUUCAAUUUUUUGUGGAUUUUGUUCAUCAAAUAUGAACUAAUUUUCUCACUCUAAUCAAGGGACAACGGAGGCUUUGGUUCGUCUAAAAAUUGUGAGAUCGAUUUAAUUUUAUCUUUUCCUAUUAUUUAUUGGUAUUCGCAUAUUCCUUGAUUGUAGUACUUAUGAUUAUUUAAUUAAUUGAUUGUCUUGGAUCUGGAUAAUUAGUUAACUUGAUAAUCUAUUGUCAAUUAGGGUAUUAAACCCGUAAUUGUUUAAUUACCUCAAAAUAGUGUCAACUGGCAUAUUAGGUUUGUGUCAGGGGAAUACGCGGCCUAAUCUAAAAUAACCCUGGUAGUGCGUUAUUUGGUUAGAAUAGGACUCCUCUAAUACGUAAGGCAACUGGAAAAUUAAAUUUUAUGGGGGGUAUCUUAGAUUAUUUCUCAAUUAUGGUAGUGAUUAACGAGCGUACCUUAAUCACCGGCACAGUAAGGAGGGAUUGACUGUCAUCGCUUGUUUGACAGUUAUAACCUAUUUAUUAGUAAAUAAUUGAAAUUGCUUUUGUUUCAAUGAUCAAUUAGGUGAACCAUUGCUGAAAUUAUUUCUUAGCUAGAUCAUUAGUUAUCAUUCAUUUGACUUUAGUAAAUUAUUAUUUAAUUUUUAGUAGUUUCUUGAAUUUUAUUUGCAUUUAUUUGAUUGUCACCUUCUACACAAAAAUACCCCCUAUUACUGUGAAUUUGAAAAGAAACAGUUACACCCAAUUCCUGUGGAUUCGACUCUACUUACCACUAUUUAAAAAAAUUAACUUUAGUUGAACAGACUUUUAUUAUUGCACAAGCCCGACACCCUGUCAUUGAUCGAAAGCUGUAGAAAGCUUAUAGUCGAAGAGGCAAUAUACAAAGAUCUUUUAUAGCUAGUUUGGCAGAUAGGAUUUGAUACGAAAAGGGAAAAAAGUGGAAGGAAGGAAUAUUUUUCUUUCAUUUGUGAGUUUACUCACGACAAAAAACAAAGGAUUUGACCUGAUUUGGAAGGAUUUAGAGUGCUGCUUGAGUUGAAAAUUUUUUUCACCCACUUAUGGGCUAAUUUGAACGAACGAAACGUCGAAGAAAGCCCAAAAUUUUUUCGAAAUAUCAAUUCUAUCUUUAGAUUAGCACUAAACAAAAUUUUAAUGAUAUAUAUAUAUAUCCUAAAUCAUUCUAUUUCUUUUCUAACCUCUCAAAUAAUAUUAAAAUCGUUGCAAUUCUUUUCUCUUCUUUUCUUUUCUUUCCUAACUUAAGUUUUCUCAUCUUUUCUUUUAUAUCCUAUGCUCCCAUACUAGCCAUUAAAGAGCUUUCUACCGGAGGAAUUUUUUCAGUGGAGACUCUGGCCAAGAAUCCAUUGGGUACCCCUAGAGGUUGAGGCAAUGUAGCAGAGUUUGAUAAAAAAAAGAUCCACACUUUUCUCACUCAGCAAUGAGCAGUUCGUUCCAAGACCCCAAGCCUCGUAUAGUUAUGGUUGUUUUGGAGCCUCAAUUUCUUUUUUUUUUUUUUUUGUAUCUUUAUGUUUUAGGAAAUUAGAAAUACGAUAUUAAUCCUCCUUAACCCCCUUUUUCUUGGUGGAUUUCCUUGUCCUAUAAAGGAUAAUUUAGAUUAGAUGCUUAUACAUGAAUUAGUCAUUUUGGAUUAGUCAUUUAAAAAAAAAAAAAGAAGAGAAAUAUUUUUUUAUACUUAUACUACAAACACGUUUUCUAACCAUUUUUUUUAUCUCAUAUAUAUCAUAUUGCAAAAAAUUUAAAAUAGUAUAAUCUUCUAUCCAAAUAGAGUCAACUAAUAGCAUAUGGUUACAACUCUUCUGUCGAUUUUGAAUUGUUAAGCUUAACAAAAAAAUCAGUUGGAUAGAUAACUAGCUAGGUUAGUGCAAUUGGCUAGAGAGUCAGUCACCCUUAAGUUACUCUCGCUGCCAAGGUUGAACAUCGCAUCUCAUUCUUGGCAAGCAGGUUAAGGUUUUUCCCAGUCUAAGUGGGCUGCUAGAGCCACCAUCUGUGUAGUAAUGCUAGUCAAAGUUGUAUUACAUUUGGAUUCAUCCUUUGUUACUUGUGCUCCACUCUAUUCUGGAUUUCGAUUGUAGUCUUGUACUCCUAUAUUGAAAAAAGAAAAAAAAUAGUUGGAGAGUUAACUUAAAAGAAUACAAAUCUGAAAAAAAACAAAAUAAUUGGAGAGUUAAAAGUAUACAAAUUUGAAAUUUCGAGAAGAUCUAGGUCAUUUGCCCUAAAAAGAAAGAGGUACUCUGUGAAAACGAGGCGAAAGGGUUCCAACAAAAAUUUUAACAUGUAGAGAAAAUCCUGCAAACUUGAGCUUGAGCAACACAACUAGACGAAUGAAUGCAGAAUAACUAAGCAAAUUGUUGUUGCUAAAAAGCAGUUUUUCGUUUAACCAAUAAUUUCCAAUAAUAACAAGACAGACAAAACAAAUUUCCAGCCAGCAAUGACCAAUUGAUUUUCAACUGUUCUUAAAUUUAUUAUCGUUCAUUUCUUCUUUAAAUAAUUUUGCUAGUAAUGAUUUUGUUACCACUACCGGUAACUUGGGUUGCCUUCAAGGUGUAGCGAAUUUUAAAUAGCUAGACAUCUUGUAUGAUUUUGCUACCUGAAAAGUUGAUUAAGAAUAACUGUUUUCAAGACUUUUAUGCUUAUUUCUCUCUUAUAUUUUUGUGAUUUUCUUUAGAAAAAAUUUGUCUUUUUUCCUUCUCCUGAAGCCUAUAAUUUACAUAUAUUACUAACUAAGGUUUAUCAGAUUUUACAGUUUUGAAUCCGAUAUUCUCUGUUACUUAAUUGAAAUUCCUAAAUCAUAUCAAAAGCUAUUUUUUUGGAUUUUGGGGGGGGGGGGGGGGGUGGUGGAAGGGACUUAUUUGAAUAAUAAUUAAAAUGCAGUUUGCAUAGAGGAGGGGAGAAAAAGGAAAAAGAAAAAAAUGUUAGUAGCUAGUCCAGUUUCUCCUAUAUAUUCCCUCGACAAUGUCACCAAAUAAAUAUUGAUUGAUACAUAAUUCUGGGCAAAAAAGUUCUUCUUCUUCUUCUUUUUUUUUAAAAAAAAUAUUAAUCCUAUACAGACCAAAAUAUUUAUUAAAUUUUAGAAACGUGAUUAUAUAAUAGUUAAGGGACUAAAUUGAACAAAAUCCAAAAAAGGAGGGACAUAAAUGGCUAUUUUCCAAAUUAAACGCAAUCAUAUUAUAAAUGGUUACUCAAGUAGCUCAUCUACAUAUCUCCAAUUCACAAUUUGUUCACAUCUUUUAGGAGUCUACAUACUUUAAAAAAAGAAAGAUAACCCUGACUGAUUUUGUACUUGCCACAAUUUGUUCACAUCUUUUAGAAGUGUACAUACUUGAAAAAAAAAAAGGAUAACCCGUACAAAUUUACAUCUUCCGUCCCACUUUGAUAGUCUUAGUUUUUUUUUUUAUGCAAUUUAAGAAAAAUUAGCUAACUUUAGUGAAAGGGUAAAUCUAACAUGCUAUUUUUCUAAAAUAUUCUUACAUUAAUAUUAGGAGUAUGAAAAAGCAUUAUACUUUUUACAUUAAUUAUAAUAACAGUAUUGAUGGAAAGUUGCACCAUUCAAGGGUUGAAUCAAAGCAAUUAUUGAUGGAAAAGGUAAUUGUACUAAAUAAGGUGAUAAUAUUUGUAAGUAGUGGUAAGUAGGGUAAAGCUAACUACAGUAUAUUUUUCGAUUAAAAAAAGCGGAUUAUAAUUUAGGAUAGAACGGAUGAAAAAGAAAAACAAACCAGUAAAAGAGGGACUUAAAAAGUAGUAGUACAAAACAACUUCAAAGCGCGUACAAUCCUUUAAUGCAAGAUAGCUCGGUCCCAUCUUCUAGAAGUGUACAAAGUUCAUACAAUGUAUUUACACUAUCGUGUGCGGCCUAAAUGUGAAAACGGGAUGGACGGAAACAUAGAGCCAGCUAGCGGUACACAACUAACUGCACGCACGGGAAGGAAGCCUCCUUCUAGAAGGAUUGCUUGAUGAACAAGGGAAAACAAAUAAAACGCAACAUUCUUGACGCUAGCCUAUGAUUUCUAUAAAUAGACAAACGCGGCCAAGAUGUUUGAUGAAAUCUGAUGAAAUCCGGGAACACAAAAAGCCAGUUAGGAUCACAAGAAACCAGUCGGGCAAUACUGUUUGCAAAAAAAAAAAUAUAUACUUAUCUUACAAGCCAAGACUCAGGCUCGGUCCCUUCGGGAAAACGAUCAAUCCUCCCUCCAUUUUCUCUUUCCAGGAAUUUUCCGAAAAGGGAGAGUUAGAUAUAUAGAGAGAGGGAGAAGAUUUAGCUUCGGCCCUUCAGGAAAACAAUCUUCUUUCCCUCCCUCUUUUUAUAUCUACAAGUUCUCAGUAAAGGGAGAGACAGAUAUAUAGAGAGGAAGAAGGCCUGAGAAUGCCCGAAACGGAGUCGGAAACUACGCCGUCGGCGACAACGGGAAAAUCCCAGAAUGCAGAUCAACAGAAAGUGCCAUUUUAUAAGCUUUUCACGUUUGCAGAUCGUCUUGACAUUGCACUAAUGAUUGGGGGAACACUCGGAGCCAUUGGCAAUGGUAUGUCUCAGCCUAUCAUGACCCUGAUAUUUGGGAAGCUUAUUAAUACCUUUGGUGGUAGCAGUGGAAAACCAGAUCUCUUAGAUGAAAUCUCGAAGGUAAAUUUUUUCUUUUUUUUUUUGGUGCGUGUUUUUGGUUUUCUUUUUAAUGUUUCUUGGCGUUGUUUUCUUGUCAAUUUCCACCAUUAUUCUUCGUUUGCAUGUGAAUAAUGAUGGAGGAGGAGGGUUCUUCACCUAGGAAAAUCCCUUAAAAAUUGUGGGGUACUGUGUGAAAUUCUAAGGUCUUCUUAGGGUACCAAAUUCUGCAAUUCUGAAAUUCUAAGUUCUCUAUUGUUUGUUAGAUAAAACGUUGCUAAAUCAUGUCUUGGCUCUUAAUUUUGCUCUUCCAUGCAAGAAAUAUUCUUGAUUGACAAUGACUUUCCAUCUCCAUUCCUAUAUUACCUUUGACUACACUUCAUAUUUGUAAGAGUCAAAUUUAGAUAGGAGACUGAAAAUGAUCAUUCGAAUCAAGACAUUCUUGCUUCAUUCGAAAAUAAUCUCUUUCCUUUACUCUCAAAAUUAAUUGCGAAAUUUAAUGUUUUAAUGUUACUAGUAAGGGUUGCCAACUAAUAAAUGCAUCACGUACCAAACGGAUUCAUACACAGUUGUUUUCUUCCUAGAAGCUAUGCACUGAUUUUAAAAAGUAUUAACAUGCCCAGCAUUUGAUAACUGAAAUGAGCUAAUUACGUAAUGAUUACUCGAAUAUAAUGUCCUUAUUGAUGUCUACUGGAAAAUUUUCCCAACAAGAGUAGUAAAUUUUAGCUUCAUGGAAACAGUAUCAAAGAACGAAUGCAUGAGUACUUAACAGAGCAUCCCGUUCUGAUUUUCUCUGAAUACGAUAACUUUUAAGGUGCAUACUUUUACUCUCUUUUUUUUUUUUUUUUGGCAAAAUUAAUCCAAGUGAUAGUGAAUUUUGGAUUAGCAAGCCAAGCCAUAUUUGCUGCUAUUUAAUACGAAGCAUGAAUAUUGGUAUUUUUUUUAAUGAAACACCAGGAGAAACCUUCUCUGAAAACAAUAACUUGUAAGGUGCAUAUUUUUACUUUCUUUUCUUUUUUUGGGCAAAAUCAACCCAAAUGACACUGAUAUUUGGAUUAGCAAGCCAUAUUUGUUGCUAUUUAAUCUGAAGAAUAAAAAUUGGUAUUUAUUUUUUUUAAAUCAAACACCACGACAAACGUACUAAAUAGUUGUUGCUCUGAAUUUUAGGUGUGCCUUGAUUAUGUUUACUUGGCUAUCGGCGCUGGCAUUGCCUCCAUUUUACGUAAGUCAAGAUUGACUCCUUACUUUUUUUUUUUCUUUCUUUUUCAUUUUUGUUGAAUAAAUUGUUAUACUUUGUUGACUGAAUUAGGCAACACUACAAAGUUCUUAGCAGUUUCUCCAGCUGCUUAGUUACGUGCCACGUGUACUUAGGAUUAGGCUAAACUAAACUGUAGCAGUGUUAGGUGAGGCUAUUAUAGAGGGGAAGAAAUUUGGGAUGGCAAGUGACGUUGAAGAUGCUUAGCAGAAAUUAUCAUGGCUGAAAUUUUACCAUAAUUAAACUCUCUCGCAAUUUUCAUGCAUAGUAACAAGUCUUUCUGCUGCCCUGGAAGAAGAGGUAUCUAGCUUUGGGACCAGAACUGAGGCCUCUGGUAUAUGAGUUGUUUUGGUCAGCAGCAAUUAAGUGUAUAGCUAUAUUAAUGGGUGCUAAAACUAGCUAGAACUAGUAAUCAUCCUCCCCUCAAGAGGAGGAUAAAGCAAUCAAUCACUAGUCAAGUAUUUACGCUUGUCAUUUAAUGAAGUAAGCAACCCUGGCAUGAUUAAUUGUGUAUCACAAAAUAUAAUGGUCAAUGGCUUUUGCCUUUCAAUUGGGAAAUGGAUUUCAAGAAAUUGGUUGAUGCAGAAUUUUGGUUCAACUUUUUCUACACGGUUUAAAAUAUACGUUUACUUACAGUUCAAACGAAUAAGCUAAGCUUGAUGUAAUGUUUCUUCCUAAUUUAAUACAGAGAUGUCGUGCUGGAUGGUAACUGGAGAAAGACAGGCGACCCGCAUACGUGGUUUGUACUUGAAAACAAUCUUGAGGCAAGACAUUUCAUUCUUUGACACUCAAACAACGACAGGAGAGGUCAUUGGCAGAAUGUCUGGAGACACAGUCCUCAUCCAAGAAGCCAUGGGUGAAAAGGUGAACUUUAUAGCAAAAUGCUAAUGCACUAAUUCAGUUUUAAGAUAGUCGUACACUGUCAUAACUUGAUACCAAUACAAAACUCACCAGUGUUAUAUAUUUGCAAAAUGCAACAUAGAAUUAUUGUUCGGGAAUCAUCUUCAGAUUAUAAUCUCUUAAAUAAGGGAACAAGUGGUUUUUUUUUUUUUUUUCCUGAUAUUUUGGUACUACAUGCAUUUUCUGAUGUAUAGAACUUUAAAAGCAAAUUCCUGAUGAUUUGCCUACAUGACAGGUAGGGAAAUUCAUCCAGUUUGCAUCAACAUUUCUUGGAGGAUUUGUGAUUGGUUUCAUCAAGGGGUGGCGUUUGGCAAUAGUCCUAUGCAGUUGUAUUCCUGCUCUGGUUGUUGCUGGAGGAGCUAUGGCAUUGUUCAUGUCCAAAAUGUCAAGCCGUGGCCAAAUUGCUUAUGCAGAUGCUGGAAAUGUAUUAGAACAAACUAUAGGAGCAAUUAGAACGGUAAAGUCUUGCUGCAAAAGCUUGUUUUGGAUCGGUGUAAUAAUUUGUAGCCAGUGAAUUAAUUCAUUUGAUUUUUGUUCUCCAUUUAAUGUGUCAUAGGUUGCAUCAUUUACUGGAGAAAAGCGAGCAAUCAAGAAAUAUGACGACAAACUACAGGUUGCUUAUGAGUCGACAAAUAAACAAGGACUGGUUUCAGGACUGGGACUUGGCACGAUCUUGCUGAUUGUCUUCUCUAUUUAUGGACUAGCAAUAUAUUAUGGAUCCAGGCUAGUUUUAACCAAAGGAUACAGUGGUGGGGAUGUCAUUAAUGUCAUGAUGGCCAUAAUGAUGGGAGGAAUGUAAGUAUAGAAUGUUUCUUUUAAUCUAUUUGAUGUUCGAUUUUUUCUUUUCUUUUUUUUUGUUUUUCUGUGUUCUUGAGUUCAUUGUAAUUGGGCAAAUAUCAAGAUUUUUGGGUUAAUUAUAUGUUUAAUAAGCUUGGAUUUUGAUCCACUGUAUACAAGAUUCCAAUGCUUCAGGAGAUUUGGCAAAAUAUAUGAAAUCAGUUGUAACUCGAACAAAGCUGUGGAUUCUAAGCGAUGAUGGAUUAAUGCAUUUCAAGAGCAGUUCUAACUCAUUAUUUCCAUUGGAAUCAGGUCAUUGGGCCAAACAUCUCCUAGUCUAAAUGCAUUUUCAGCAGGGCAAGCUGCAGCUUUCAAGAUGUUUGAGACUAUCAAGCGUGUACCCCAAAUUGAUGCAUAUGAUAAUAGUGGGAUUGUCUUGGAAGACCUGAAGGGUGAAAUUGACCUCAAGGAUGUAUACUUCAAGUAUCCCGCAAGACCAGAGGUGCAAAUUUUCUCUGGAUUCACAUUGCACGUUCCUAGUGGCACGACUGCAGCUUUAGUAGGGCACAGUGGAAGUGGGAAAUCGACAGUUAUCAGUCUCUUGGAGAGAUUUUAUGACCCUGAAGCUGGGGAAGUGCUUGUUGAUGGCGUGAACAUUAAGCAGCUGCAGAUCAAAUGGUUAAGAGAUAAAUUAGGGCUAGUGAGCCAGGAGCCAAUCCUAUUUGCAACUUCCAUAAGGGAAAACAUACUGUAUGGAAAACCAGGUGCUACGGACUCAGAAAUCAGAACAGCAAUUGAGCUGGCUAAUGCUGCGAAAUUCAUCGACAAACUCCCUAAGGUAAAGGCUCUUGAUUAUUUGAUUUGUUCGAAUAUAUGCGGAUUCUCGAUUUCUCUAUCUGUCCAUGUUGAGAAUCCGGUUAUCUUCUCUGUAGGGGCUUGACACAAUGGUCGGCGAACAUGGGACUCAACUCUCUGGGGGACAAAAGCAGCGGGUUGCAAUUGCUAGAGCCAUUCUAAAGAACCCAAGAAUCCUUCUUCUUGAUGAAGCGACAAGCGCUCUGGAUGCAGAGUCGGAACGCAUAGUACAAGACGCCCUUGAUAAAGUUAUGAUCAACAGAACUACAGUGGUUGUUGCACAUAGAUUGACGACUAUCAGAAAUGCUGACCUCAUAGCAGUAGUACAUGCUGGCAAACUCGUUGAACAAGGUACAGACGUUAUGAUUUGUGAAUGUUACAUUUUUUUUUCUCACUUGGGGCAAUUAAUGAACUUUCCUCCAAAAAUCAUUUGGUAGGAACUCAUUCCGAGUUGAUUAAAGAUCCUAAUGGCGCAUACUACCAGCUUGUCCGUAUGCAAGAGGGGUCCAGGUCCAACCAAGCUAAAGGAAAUUCCACAAAAUUGGACGUAGAGAUAUCAGAAGCUUCUAUUGAUUUAGAUGACAGUUUACAUAGGAGUUUGAGCCAAAGAAUGUCUCUGAGAUCCACGAGCAGAGGAUCAUCAAGACAUUCCUUCACUCUCAAUUUUGGAGUUCCUGGUCUCAUUGACAUCCAUGAAGCAGAAGUAGGACAAGAUGUACAUGGAACUGAUGAAGCUGACUUGAAGAAGAGCCAAAAAUUCUCACUUUUACGACUUUUCAAUUUAAACAAACCUGAGCUACCAUAUAUGCUGCUUGGUUCCAUUGCUGCUUGUGGGCAUGGUGUUGUCUUCCCUGUUUUUGGGCUCUUACUCUCAAAAUGCAUUAGAAUUUUCUUUGAACCUCCACAUGAACUAAGGAAAGAUGCGAGAUUUUGGUCACUGAUGCUUGUUGGUUUAGGUGCUUUGACUUUGGCAAUUGUACCAGUGCAGAAUUACCUUUUUGGAGUUGCAGGUGGUAAAUUAAUACAGAGAAUUCGAUCUUUGUCAUUUCAGAAAGUAGUCCACCAAGAAAUCAGUUGGUUUGAUGACCCUGCAAACUCGAGGUGAGUUUAUUCAUUUGUUCUCAUGGCCCAAUGCCCUUUGCUUUAAUUCAGGAGUUUAAACUGGAAUUUUUGUUUCCCCAAAAAACAGUGGUGCAGUGGGUGCGAGGUUGUCUACUGAUGCUUCAACUAUGAGGAGUUUGGUGGGCGAUGCUUUGGCGCUAGUUGUCCAGAAUCUGUCGACAGUAGUAACUGGGCUUGUGAUCUCGUUUACUGCUAAUUGGAUACUAGCAUUUAUAGUUGUAGCCGUAUUACCCUUCAUUGGAUUGCAAGGAUUUCUCCAGGCGAAGUUCCAUAAGGGCUUUAGUGGAGAUGCCAAGGUAAGCCCUGCACAUUACACAAAGCCAGGAAAAAGAAAAGAUGCAGUGAACUGACACGCGUCUCAAUGCUCUGCAGGUCAUGUAUGAAGAAGCAAGUCAGGUAGCAAAUGAUGCUGUUGGCAGCAUUAGAACUGUUGCAUCAUUUUGUGCUGAAGAGAAGGUUAUGGACACAUAUCAAAAGAAAUGUGAAGGCCCCAUGAAAUAUGGUGUCAAGCAAGGAAUGGUCAGUGGCUUUAGCUUUGGACUUGGGUCUUCUGCAAACUAUUUAGCAACUGCAUUCAUCUUCUGGGUUGGAGCUCGUCUUAUUGAACAUGGGAAAGCAACCUUUGGUGAGGUAUUCAAGGUAAGGUUCAUCUCAUAAACCUCACAAGAGUAGGCUUUUUUGCAUCUAUGUCCAAAUCUUUUAUUAUCUAACACGGGUUCCAUACAGGUUUUCUUUGCAUUGACAAUGGCAGCUUUGGGAGUUUCCCAGACAACCGCUUUGACUCCAGAUAUUAACAAAGCUAAAGUUGCUGCUGCUUCUAUAUUUGAAAUUCUUGAUAGUAAGCCUAAGAUUGAUUCAAGCAGUGAUGAGGGUCAAGUGCUUGCUACUGUAAAGGGUGACAUUGAGCUGCAACAUGUAAGCUUCAGGUAUCCAACACGGCCCGAUAUUCAAAUUUUCAAGGAUCUGUGCCUAUUAAUUCCUUCUGGAAAGGUAACUCCCAAUGAUAUUCUUUUACUGUAAGCUUUCUUUUUCUCAACCUACCUUCUAUAAACUAUUAAAAAAACUCAAAAGGAUGGCUCAUCCUAUUUAGGCUGUUAUUUGGACUCACAAACAUUCAACUUGUACUCAGACUGUUGCCCUUGUUGGUGAAAGUGGUAGCGGGAAGUCCACAGUCAUUAGCCUAAUAGAGAGGUUCUAUAAUCCCGACUCCGGGCACAUAUAUCUUGAUGGUGUGGAAUUGUGGAAGCUGAAGAUAAAUUGGCUCAGGCAACAAAUGGGGUUGGUGGGUCAAGAACCUGUACUCUUCAACGAAACAAUUCGGGACAACAUUGCCUAUGGCAAACGGGGGGAUGUAACAGAGGAGGAGAUCAUUGCUGCAGCAAAAGCUGCAAAUGCACAUAACUUCAUUUCGGGAUUGCCUCAGGGAUAUGAUACUUCUGUUGGAGAAAGAGGGGUCCAGUUAUCCGGUGGACAGAAGCAACGGAUCGCCAUUGCACGCGCAAUACUCAAAGAUCCAAAAAUCCUUUUGCUGGAUGAGGCAACAAGUGCUCUUGAUGCAGAAUCAGAACGUAUAGUUCAAGAUGCACUAGAUAAGGUGAUGGUGAAUAGAACCACAGUUGUUGUCGCUCAUCGCUUGAGCACAAUAAAAGGGGCUGAUAUCAUUGCAGUAGUCAAGAAUGGUGUGAUUGCUGAGAAAGGAGGACAUGAUACGCUUAUGAACAUUCCUGAUGGUGUCUACGCAUCACUGGUUGCACUUCAUAUGACUUCAACUUAGGCCACCUACUUCAUAAUUCUGCAAUAGAACCAUUUUUGGAGUUUUAGCACUUUGGUUUAUAGAUAUGGUACUCAAGCUAAUAUGCUGGUUUUGAAUAUAGAAAAGGGUUAGCAAUGGAACCACAUUAUGUUUAUUUAUUUAUUUUUUUACUAAUGCUGAUUUUUUAUAUAGAAAAGUGUUAGUUAGCAAUGGAACCACUUUAUGUUUAGUGUAUUUUGUUUUUAAUCUUUCUAUCAAUCUAAGGUUUAUUGCUGUUAAUAAUAAUAUUCCGAAAAUAAUAAGUUAAAAUAAAAUAAGAUUUAUCUUUCAAACCAAUGAAUAUUAGCCCAUUUCCUUGCAAACUCUCCACGUUACUCAAAUCUCUCUGGCAUAAAGCUUCAGAUCAUCCAUCUUUAGAUAUUAUAGAUCUUGAGUAGACUAGACAUAUGCAAAUUUUUGCACAGAACUUUCAAAAUCAAAGCGAAGAACAACCAAUACCACCAUCUAGUCACCAGAAGGUUCUAACAAAAUUGCAAAAUAUGGAAACCCCUGCGGAUAACUUACUUGUACUGGUACAAAUGGAUGCAAAACUAAUCAUAUCUGCCCUUGUCAAGCAUUGCUCGGACUCUCAUCGGCAGUCCAUAAAGCCGAAUGAAUCCAGCAGCAUCAGCCUGAUCAUAUAUUUGGCCACUCUCAAAUGAUGAUAUAUCUUGUCUAUACAAGCUAUAUGGACUUUCUCGACCUGCUACGGAUAUAGAUCCCUUGUAGAGUUUGAGCGUCACAGAGCCAGUAGUGCUUUUUGUAAUUUCCUCCAUGAAGGCAUCCAUUGACUCACGAAGUGGGUCAAACCACCGGCCAGCAUAGACUAGCUCAGCAUAUUUUAGUGCGAGAGAAUCCUUGACUUGCAUUGUUUCACGAUCAAGUGUAAGUGACUCGAGUUCACGGACUGCUGUAAAGAGAAUGGUUCCACCAGGGGUUUCAUACACUCCGCGACUUUUCAUUCCGACAAGACGAUUUUCGACCAUAUCUAUUCGCCCUAUCCCGUGCCUUUUACCAAUUUCAUUUAGCUUAGAGAGGAGAGAUGCAGGGGAAAGCUUCACUCCAUCAACUGAAACUGGAAGUCCAGCAUCUAUCCCAAUUUUCACCUUCCUGAAAGGACUCGGAAUUUAAAGUGGUUCAAUAUUAUGCACUAAAAUAGGUCAGACAUUUCAAUACCCAAUCAGCACAAAUUUUUUGCUCUGAACGAAUCAUAUACUAUACAAGAUGGAGCCUUACUCAGGUUGAUCAGGUGCAUCUUCUGGGUUGACACUAAUCAUGUACAUGUCCUCCUUUGGCUCAUUUGCGGGGUCUUCUAAUAUGUCUCCCUAAACAAAAAUAUAGUAGCAAGCAAUGGCAACUACAUUUAGGUCGUAGAUCAUCAGUUCACAAAACUAAGAGGAUGCAAAAACAACAGUUAAACAAAAGCGAUUCUCAUUAAAACAGCGACGCAAAUAGCAGGAUAUGAACAGAAUCUGGCACCAGAUCUGCUUUUCUAAUGAACAAUAAGACUAAGUUCAGAAUGUUUCUAGAAAGAAACCAAGUUAAAUAGCUUCUUUCCUGUUUGGUUCACAGGGAGAUUCUGAACCUUACAAAGGGGAAGGAGGAAAGGGCAGGGAUUGAGAGUCAAACCCAGGGCCUUAUGGUCAUUGGUAAAUGUCCCUACCAGCUAAGCUGGGUCCUGGGGACAAGUUAAAUAGGUUAUAACAUCUGUUUUCGCCUACUUUUAAAGCCAUGACCUGUAAUAAGCACUAUAACCUAGUUGGCAUCCAAACAAAUAAAACCAUAGUAAUUACUAUGUUCUAAUGUUUCCAGGCUCACUAUUUUGCGUUCUAUUAUCUCGAGAACCUUAGCUGCUAUUUAUUUAUGAUAUUUUUACUAGACCGAAUUGACUAAUGAUUCAAUAGAUAAGAUCACCUUUCUAUCUUUGGGAAGGAAAGUAGUAUGCAAACCAGCUAAGCCAAGAUAAUAGGUGAGCAAACUUCCUAACCAGGAUAGCAAGAACUUCACACUGAACUGAAUACCAGAAUGUUAUAAUUUACUAGCAUGACAUCUUGGUGAAGCUGCUAGUCAAGUGCUUUGGGGUUUGCAAUGAAAGCAUUCUGCUUUCUUGUAUGCCUAAACAUCAUUUAAAAAAUCAUAAUAAGCUGGAAUUACUUUUCAAGAAAGGUAGUCAUGCUAUUACCUCAUGACUGAGAUGCCACAGGUUUCUGUCUCUGCUAUAGAUUGAUUUCUUUGUAACUGGAACUGGAAUACUGUGUUUCUUAGCAUACUCAAUAGCAUCUUCUCUACCCCUUAUUUCCCAUUCCCUCCAAGGGGCAACAACACUAAGUUCGGGAUUCAGAGCAAAGAAAGUCAGCUCAAAACGUACCUGCAACAGCAAGAGUCAGGUAUACUCCCCAAUAACAUGAACUACUAGAAACAUCACAUUGUUCGUAGAAGAAAAUAUGAUCAAAUAACAAUCAAAUUAAUAAAGAUCAAUUCUGAAGCAUGCCUGAUCAUUGCCCUUUCCUGUGCAUCCAUGUGAUACUGCAUCUGCUCCAACUUCUCUCGCAACAUCAACCAUUGCCUGGGAUUUGUUAAAAAAUUAAGGUGCAAAGCUAAAAGAAAAUUUAACGGACAGAUAAUGCCACCUAUGAAAUGAGAAACCCUACUAUAAGAAUAUUAUGUAAACUCAGCACCAUGGAGCUUUAACAUAGAUUAACAAAAAUGCUUCUAUAGCGAGUUUCAAAAUGACUCUGUGGAGUGUUGGAUCCAAUAUUUGAUCAAAACAACAACAUACACACAUUAAAGUUACUUCCUUGACAAACUGCUUAACAGAAAUUAAGGGUGAAAGUGGGAAGAGGGUAUUUUUGUUUUUUUUUUUGUGGGUUUUUUUGUUUGAGGGGGGGGGGGGAGAGGAGGAGGACUUGCAAAAGACUCGUCUCCAACUGUUGCAAGGAAAAGAAGGAAAGAAAGGGAAGGAAUACUCAAAGAGUGAAACUCUUUAAGACACACGACUCCAUGGUGCAUAUUUUAGUUAUUUACUUCACAUAGUUUACCUUUGCAAUUACAGGGCGAGCCAUUGAGGUACCCAGUAAAUACUUCCUCUCAUAAAUGGCGCCAGCUCUCAAGCAAGGAAAUAUGUAAUCUUUCACAAAUUCCUCCUUCAAAUCUUUCACCACUAACUGACAAGCUCCACUUGCUUUUGCCUUCUCUUCUAAACCUUCCAACUCUUUAAUACCCUUUAAAUAGAAUUCAGCAUUAAGUGUCAGAUAUAGAGACAAGUUUCUAAUGUUAUCUGGCAAUAUUAUGAACAAUAGUGAUAAUCCGCUCCUAGAGAAUAAAAUGAAUAAUAGCACAUAUACAAAGGAAUGUCUACGGCACUAAAUAUGAAAAAGUGUCCACAAUGUAGCCCAUUCUCACUUACUUGGCCGACAUCUGCUGUGAAGCAAACAACCUCACAACCAUAAUUCUCUCUGCAACAUGAAGAAAAUUUAGACAUGCAAAACACGAGCAGGAUCAGAACAAGGAAAAUAAUAUCUCUAUUCAUAGAAAGCAUAAAAUAAAUAUACCAGUCAAUACAAACCAAGGAUAAUCCAUGUAAUUACCACAGUAUAUUAACUGAACAGAGAAAUCUGUCUGCUUAACUUUUAUCUCAACCUCACCCAUUACAGCUCCAUAAACAAGAAAUUUACAAAUUACACAAGCGUCUGCACUACUUCUGUACAAAAUUUUAUGUAAUCACCCAAUUUGGCUUCAUUUGUUUUUUUUAAAGUAAUAGGUACACAUACAGCAAUGACACAUCCGAGUUCCCAGAGCAAAUAGAGUAUCACUCUUUAGAAAAUGUCAAUUUAGCAGUCAUAUUUGAGAACAUAGAGAACAUAUCAAUCAAAGGUUACCUUAGCCAAGGUACAAUGACAGAGGUAUCUAGACCACCACUAUACGCUAGCACCACCUUGUCCAAUUUUUUACGUAGAACUUUUCCUUCUGUGGCACCAGCAGGAAUUGACUCCUUAUCACUGGCUACAACAGCUCGGAUAGCUGCAUCAUCAGUUAAGCAUAUGUGUCACAUCAGAAAAUAUAGCUAAUAAGAAACCUUAUAGCAACUAACCCAAGAAUUCAAAAUACAAUGCUAACAAAAUUGGCAACCAAUAAAUGGACCAUAAAAUUUACCUAUAACACCUCAAUUUUGUCAAUGAUGCAAAUUCGUAUAAAUAUGUUAGAGAAUAAUAGUCAUCAUUCAGUACCAACCCAAAUUCCUUUUCUGAUUUUUGAUAUUCAUGUUUGAGCAGCACAAAGAUAUUAUAAUGCAAAUAUAGAAGGGACGUCCCCAAUCUUAACAAAAAACACAGACAACAAAAAUUUAUUCCCAUCCAUUUAAGCAAACUAACUUCUUUGAAACUGAAUCUUGCCCAUUAUUCCCAUCCAUUUAACAUUUCAUUUUGGGGCGUGAACGGGAAUGUUUACAAUGAGAAAGAUAAACAAGAAGCUAAGAUUCAAUUAAUUUAAUUAGUUUCUAAACAUAUAACACCAUUUGAGUAUUUCUUUUGCUCAAAAUGAGGAAAAAAAAUGAAAAGACCGUAUACCAAAUUUAUUGAUGCGAAUCGGAGCCAAAUUCUUCGAGCUGCAGUGAGCAAUAGAAUGUCCACCCGCUUUCACCCCUAGCUGCCAUUAGGAGAAAAAGAAAAUAAGUGAAAAAAAUUCAAAACCCAGCACUUAAAAAACGAGCAACAGAAAAUAAAACAAAAAAAAAAAAAGAAAAGCAGUACAAUUACUUACCUCGUGCAAAGGUAGCGAGGUAGCCGCCUUUCCAGACAAAUCUGCAGACAACAUUAAAAUCCCAAAAUCUUUCAGGAAAACCCUUUAUUUUGAAGGUAAAAAAUGAAAGGAUAAAUCCAGAAUUAAAAAGGUUGAGACCAUAUUUUACCUGUUCUGGAGGCAUGAGGGAAGAGAUUAAGUGAAGUACAAGAUGAAAUUGCUCGACACUGAGUCAUUCUGUUCGAAUGAUGAUACAAGGACAGAAAUACGCCCUCGGAACCAGAGGUAUGAGCAGAGGUGGGUGGAGGUGUAGGCGGAGGACCGUCAAAUAAGCUCUAAUUCUUCUUCUAGUUGUAAGUGGUGCAGCUGCAGGGUUUUGAAUUUUUUAACAGAUACAAUAAAAGGGUUUUGAACUUUUCCUCAUGCUGUUAUCUUUUUUAUUUAUUUAAUUGGAAGAAACAAAUAGAUCAACCAAUUGUGCAAGAGAGCUACUACUAUUAAAAAGUAUCAAUCACUCUGUUCUUUUCUUUUUCCAUAUAGAAAGAGAUAUAGAAUGAUUGUAGAAUUACAAACAAAUGCUUUAAAUAAAUCACUAACAUUUAAUACAGAACCGUAAAAUAACAUGAAUCAACACUAUAUACCACACCCCCAUACAGGAGAAGUAUACAAUUUAACCAAUCCCAAAACAAGAAUCUAACAAAUACAUCCAUCACAUUUGGUGGGACCAGACGAAACAUAAUAACAGUUAAAAUUCUGAUAUCAAUUACAUUCUUCAACUGUAAGCUUCUCAUUUUUUUCUAGGAAUCAAGCAGAACAAAUGUAGGUCGUUCAUGAUGGAUGAUUUCUUGUUUAAGUUUACGAUUAGUAGAAGUGUUGAAUCAAAAUACUAGAACCCAGGCUUUGACCAUGAUUUUCAGAGAAUUUUAGGGUAUAAAAAAUUUUAAAAAAAAAAUUACCCUUGAGAGAGAGAGAGAGCUGGAAGAGCUGGAAAAUGUCGCUUCUUUGGAGCUGCAACCAUGACAGAGAGGGAGAAAGCGUGGGCGUCGCAGGCCUCGCUAGCUGGAAGAAGCGUAGGAGAAGAAGAGGAGGUGCUCUGUUUUGAUUCCGUAAGUGGGGUGGGGGCCGCACCUGAAUAAGGGAUGAGGAAUAUAGGGUUUGACAAUAAUGAUGUUUAUUUUGUAACUAAGUCCCUUUAUUUUGACUUUAUUAUUUUUUAACAAGUAACUUAAUCUCUUUACAAUUUUGCACUUUUUUAAUAUAAUUUCAGCCCCUUGUACUUAAAAAUUUUAUCUUUUCUAACCCAACUUAUGGUUCUUUUUAACCUAAUUGAACUUUUUAUUUAAAAAAAAAAAUUCACUUUAUACCUAUGUUACAUGGACUUGCCAUUCGUUCCCAGCACAAAUAACCAGGGAGGAUACAAAAUUUUUUGCAAAGUUACAUGCUAGUGACCCUUUGGAGGUUACUAGCAUAUUCAUUGGAUAAAAAAUAUGGCUUUCUUUUUUUUUUUUUUUGGCUAGUUGAUACCUAUUGUAAAGUUACCAGCAGCCAGUCACUUAUGGGUGACUAUAACACUUGACCAUGCUCUCUUCCACUUGUAUAAUAAAAUUAUACCUCCUGACUAAUGCCAAUUUCCAAGACCAGCCGUUACUUUAGCUGUGCUUAAGCAUAAUGCCAAUUUCCAAGAUGCACCAUUAAUUCAGCCUUAACAAGGCUUUGAUUGUGCUCUCCAUGAAAUAAUAUGUGCUUUUAUUUUAUUAUUCAUUUGAUAUAUUAAAUCCAACUAUUAUAUGUUAACAAUAUUUGAAAAUAUUUUUAUAUAUAAAAAAAUGUCUUUAUUUAAUGAAAACCAACUGCAUUACCAUGUACUUUCUCUUUGAUCUCACUGAUACCAAUUGCUAGCUAGCUUUUUGGCGAAUUUAUUAGUAUAUUGUCAAUUUUGAAAAAGUUCACAAAAUUGGGGGUAUUCGGGGUGGAAUGCUGAGUAAGGUGUCGCGCAAUUGAGAGUUGAGUCUACUAAUAAAAAUAUUUUUAAUUUUUAUUUAUUUUAGUUUCAUGUAUUUUGGGUCAAUUUUUGUAAAAAAAAAAAAAAAAAAAAUCUUUGGAAUGUUGCUUCGCCGCUCAUCUGAUGGGCGGCGAAAGAAUGUUGGUCAAAUUGCUUCGUCGCUCAAUUGAUGAGCGGCGAAGCUUUUGUCCUUAUGUUCUAGUUUUUUUACUUUUUUUUUUUCGAAGCAUUCUUCCUACGUUUUUAUUGUUUCAUAUGUAAUUUUUAAUAAGUGUGGCCGUUCAUUCUAAUUUAUUUUUUUUACGAAGCAUUCUUCCUACCUUUUAUUAUUUCAUAUGUAAUUUUUAAUAAGUUAUUUAAUGUUUAAUAAAGGCAGCACGACCAACUUAUAAAUUGGGACAUUUAAGUCCCUAAACUUAUAAAAUGGGACACUUAAAUCCCUAAACCCUUAUAAAUGGGACACUUCGACCAUCACGGCAUUCAAGAUUUUGUUAACAAUUUUCCUUAAUUGGGAGAUAUUUAUAAGUUUAGGGACUUAACUGUCCCAUUUUGAACUUUAAGGAUUAAAGUGGGUAAUCAUCCAAAAUUUGGGGGGACAAAGUGGAAUUAACCCUAUUUUUAAAUUUUAUAAUAUUAUUAUCGCAAUUAAUAAUGAUAAAUAAUACAAUAUAUUGGGAGGUUGUGUUAUAUUAAGUCAUAUUAAUAAUACAAUAUUAAGUCAUAUUAUUGUAUUAUUUAUGGUUGUGUUAUAUUAAGUCAUAUUAUUGUAUUAUUUAUCAUUAUUGAUUGCGAUAAUAAUAUUAUAAAAUUUAAAAAUAUGACUUAAGUAAAUUUUAUUAGUAAUUUAAUAGCAUACUCGAUUAUCAUGUUAAUUUAUAAAUUUCUCAUUAUUCUAAUAUCAUAUUUUAAAUUUUUGAUAAUUUUGGUUUAUAAUAGAAUUUUAGUAAUAUGAUUUAAGAAUUUUAAUUUAAAAGUAUUACACUGUAAUUUGAAAAUUAGUAUUUCAUGUAAAACGUAAAAUCUUAAUUACGCCUAUUUAAGGUUACAUAAAAACGUCAGGAAAAAACCUGGUCGCUCUGCCUUUUAUUAAACAUUAAAUAACUUAUUAAAAAUUACAUAUAAAAUAAUAAUGGGUAGGUAGAAUGCUUCGUAAAAAAAAUAAACUAGAAUGAACGGCGACACUUAUUAAAAAUUACAUGUGAAAUAAUAAAUAACUUAUUACAUUUAUUACAUAUGAAAUUAAAUAUUAAAUAACUUAUUAAAAAUUACAUAUGAAAUAAUAAAAGUUAGUAUGAAAUAAUAAAAGUUAGGAAGAAUGCUUCGAAAAAGAAAAAGAAAAAAAAAAGGGACAAAAGCUUAGCCGCUCAUCUGAUUAGCGGCGAAGCAAUUUGACCUCAACGGUCCCAUCAACCAAUUCCAUUAGCACGGUCUCAUCAACCAACCAAUUCCAUUAGCGAAUUAGCGAAUAAGGACAAAAGCUUCGCCGCUCAAAGGACAAAAGCUUAGCCGCUCAUCAGAUGAGCGGCGAAGCAAUUUGACCAAUAUUCCUUAAGGGACCCAAAAUAAAUGAGAAUUAAAAGGGUUUUUAUUAGUAGCCUCUAUUCUCACUUGCGGCGACCCUUAAUCAGCAACUCCCCCUGGAUGACCCCAAUUUUCUGAGCUUUUUCAAAUUUAACAAUAUUGUAAGAAAUUCGCCGCUUUUAUGGGUGCUACCACAUGAGUUAAUGAUAUCGUUAAAAUGUUGGCCAAGUUUUUCAAAAAUGAUUUAGUGUAUGCUGAGUUUAAGCAAACAACUCAAAAAAUAAAAGAAGAAACACAAUUGUAAUAUCUUAAAGAAAUUUUUGUUUAAUGAUUUGGCUACUCACUAUAAUGGAUUUUGAUGUUUCAAACUAAACUAUUGACUAAAGUUAAUUGAUUUCAAUUAAAAAUGAUGGCUGGACUUUUUAAAAAACAAAAAGUGGUCAUUGGACUUUUUAUAAAGAAAAUCACAAAAUAACAAGAAUAUAAACAAACUUUCUAUGUUUGAUACUGAUAAACUAAUCAAAUUUAAGAUAUUUAUAUUUAAAAAUGCAUUGAAUAGUAGUCCAUAUUUUGAAUCUUAGUCCAAACGGAAAUUAAUUAAUAAUUAAACAAGUUUUUUUUUGGUUGUGUAUGAAAAAGAAUUCAAUUAUUUAUCUUGUUCAAGAAAAUUCAGCUUUUCAUUUUUUUGGUUAAAAUGUUAAUGACAUUCAAAAAAUUUAAAAUUCAAUUCUAUACAAAAUUUGGAAAAGAUUAAAUGUAAGAUAAAUUUAGAAAAAAAAAUGAAAUAGGACAAAUACUGAAAUUCUACGUUUCAUAGACUCGAGUAUAAGUACUAAACAUAGGUACGUUUUUAGGCGUCAGAUUCGGAUACAUAUCUCUGAAAUCCCUUCCGAAUACAAAAUAGGACCAAUAUAUAUUUGAAUUAUGCAGUGUAUAAUUUACUACCAAGAUUAAAAUACAUAUAAAGCGGUGUAUCAUUAACUAAUGCAUAACUGUUACCAAAAUCGCAAUGUGUAACUUUAUAAUCAAUAUCACAAGCAAUGUAUAACUCUAUGAUCAUUGAUCACAAAGAAUCAUUAAGCUCGUAAAUUCUUAAACAAUACAUAAUUCUAUCAUCAACAUCAUAUAGAAUCAUUAAGCAGUUUGUAAUUCCAUUAAAAUGAUUAACUCAAUCAUUAAAAAAAGUGCAUAAUUAAUUAUAUUAUUCAAGAUCAUAAUUGAUUAUACAACUCUUCAUCCACAUUUAUAAGUUUUUUCAUGCACAUACAUAUUAUGAGUAUACAAUAAUAUAUUAUAGUGAAUUGUAUGAAAGUUUAUAAUGAAUUAUAUUAUGCAGUCUCUUAUAAUAAUCAUAAUAAUUCAUGUACUAUUAGUAAACUUACAUGCACAUGAUACCAGUACAGGAGAAUACAAUAAUAUACUAACAUAGUAUGCUAGCGUGUGAUGAUAUGAUAUCCAUUUAAUAUGACUUUACAAUUUGCACAGUCCCAAAUUCCGAAUAUGCACCAGUUUCCAAACUCGUUAAAAUUUCCUGGCAAGAAUUCGGUGAGAUGUUGUGUACAGCUUUAUUGAAGAAAAGGCAAAGGAUGUAGUUAAAGAUGUAAUUAAGCUUCAACGGGUUUUGAAGUGGAGAUUGCCCAAGAGAAAUAUGGGGGACCUAAAACCUUGGCGAUGCUCAAAAACAAAGUGGAUCAUUUCUACUUUCAUUAGUGGCUUGAAGAAAGAAAUCAAGCCAAUGGUUAAGAUGCUAAGACAAGAAACAUAAUAGUUGUUCAAACUCCAGGAAUGUUCAAUUAAAAACAGAAAAAAAUAUAUAUAUAGCUUAAUGCGAACUCUUUGUUUCUGAGUACAGUGAACGAUUAUCAAUUUUCCAAUAGACACUUUUUGCAGCGUCUACAACUUAUGGAUACAGAGAGGUAUAAGCAUAAUCACAUGGAGUAGCUAGAUUGAGUGGUUCAGAUGACGUGAAAAUAAAGAGGCAUAAGCCCCAUUAGCUAUCUUUAUGAGCUCAUCAUGUCUACCUUUCUCAACAAUCACGCCAUUUCUCAGAAAUGCAAUGGUGUCACUUCCUCUAAUUGCUGUCAACCUGUGAGUCACAACAAUUGCUGUUUUGCUUACCAUCACUUGGUUUAGUGCAGCUUGAACUGCUUUUUCUGACUCUGCAUCUAGAGAACUUGUUGCUUCAUCUAGUAAUAGGAUUUUUGGGUCCUUCACUAUUGCCCGUGCAAUGGCAAUCCGUUGCUUUUGUCCGCCGGAUAAUUGAGCUCCACAUUCCCCUACAUGAGUAUUAUAGCCUUGAGGUAACGCUGAUAUGAAGUUGUGUGCAUUUGCUAAUUUUGCAGCUGCAACAAUUUCAUCUUCUGUUGUAUCUUCUUGCUUGCCAUAUGUUAUGUUGCGACGAAUGGUAUCUUUGAAGAGUAUGGGCUCUUGGCUCACCAAAGCUAUGUGUUGUCGCAGCCAUUUCAGGUUGUAGUUUCGGAUAUCAAUGGCAUCCAAUAAUAUACAUCCUGAUUUAACAUCAUAAAAUCUCUCUACUAGACUUAUUAAUGUUGACUUGCCAUUCCCACUUUCUCCAACAAAAACAACAGUCUGCAAACUCAAAUUCCAUUGCAUCAUAUGCAAAUUGGAUGAUAAGUGCCAAAUAAAUGAAUAUAGGUUGAAUGGUAACUUGAACCAUUUUGAAUGUAAAAGGGAGCUAAAAUAACAGCAAAACAGUGUUGCAGCAUUAUCCCAUGUUUCAUAUCCUUGGUUGAAGCUUCCUCAGUAUUGAUUUGACUUAUGUGGUUAAAUUCCAAUUAGUGCUGAGAUUAACUGAAUUAAACAUAGUCCAAUCCUAUUAAUCCUUUUCAAUAAGAGCCUGGGUUUAACAGAAAUGUGUAGUGUACAACUCUGAUACAAUCCAAGUCCAGUUGGAGCCUAAAACCAACAAGAGUUAUAGAGUCCAGUGGAUUGAAGCAGGUCUGACAACUAUACACAUCAGAUGAUCUACUGCGCAUGAAUUCAAAGGUACUAGCAGGAAUUAAGAAAGAGAUUCAGUGAAACAAACUUUGUACCUUUCCAGGAGAAAUGUUCAAGGACACAUCUUUCAGAAUUUGCACAUUUGGCCGAGAUGGAUAACUGAAGCUAACAUUUUGGAAUUCAAGGUCACCUCUUAGAUUUUUCAGUGUCAUGCCCGUUGUGCUACUGGAACCAUUUGUCUCUUUGCUGUCAAAAAUGUUAUACAAUGAACUAGCCAAAGCAGAGACUUUAUUUGCAUCGAAUGCCGUACCAUUGGCUUGUGCAAUUCCUGCUGCUGAGGCUAUGAAAGCCAAGUAAACCUGCAAUCACAGGCCAGAGCUCCUAAUUUUACACUAUAAACUUCAAUGAGAAAAUGAAAGUAUAAGUGCGCUAUCCACCUUGAAAAGUUCUGCCACAGUUGCUUUCUUGUGUUCAACAAGAACGGAACCAAUGUAGAAACACAGGGCACUUGUGAAAAAGUAUCCAAAUUGAGAAAUGCCAAAGUUGAUACUUCUUAUAAUUCCUAGUCGGAUCCAGUGUGUCAUUUUGGUGCCAGAUUUUUUCCGAUAUAACUCCAUCACCUUAUCUUCUGCACAAAUUGAUGCGACUGUUCUUAUAUUUCCAAUGGCAUCACUUGCAACUUGACUUUGCUCAGCAUAAAUAAGCUGAAAACAAGUGAAAAUUUUGUUAAGUUGGUAUGCUGUACAAUCCUUAUUCAUGCUGCACUGUGAAUACAAAUAUCAUCUGAUCAACCUCAGCAUCUGCAGCAAAUCUUUUGAGGAAUUUUGUUUGAAUGAAGCUUAGCAUUGCCAACAUAGUACACAAUGCGACAAGUAUCAAUGCCAACAUCCAGUUCUCCAUUAAGGCUAUGAACAAUCCAGCAAAAACUGUUGAUAUAUUUUGGAUAAGGAGGGACAAGCCAUCUUUCAGAAGGCUCUGCAACAUUGAAGCAUUGCAAGAGAGCCUUGCACCAACC
This 70465-nucleotide long non-coding RNA is filed under the name Coffea arabica (coffee). Its description in RNAcentral is "long non-coding RNA (CARA_LNC006381)". The record is from RNAcentral. Lineage: Eukaryota; Viridiplantae; Streptophyta; Magnoliopsida; Gentianales; Rubiaceae.